UAUCAAUGCAGAAGCUACGAGCCCAUCAGUUAUCUUCAUCCAAUACCUUGAGUUCCUAGCUAGCCCUGUAAUAUAUAAACAUUAUUAUAGGGCAAACUUACAGAAGAAGAAAGAAUGAAAAAUACUAGUGAUACGUACAUUCUGACGUGGUAACAGUAUCCUCUAAUACUUUUAGAUGUAGAACGUAUAAACAAUACAACUUUAUUGCUAAAGCACAAAGUGCUGAACAAAAGUGUUUCCUAACAUGCUCCAAGCAAUAAAAUAGUUUUCAAACUUUCGUAUUUGGCAUAAAAUGCCAGCCGUGAAUAGAGUGAAUGGAGAAAAAUGUCGUCCAACUAUUGCUUUUAUCGCUUUUCAUCACUUAGUUAUUUUUGUCGCUAAAAAUGUCACACAACUUUUUUUGUAGCUAAAAAAUGUCAUUUAACUUUUUUGUUAACUAAAAAUAUCACUCAACUAUUUAAAGAUAACUUGUCAGUAAUUACGUUAAGUUUGUGCAUCAAAGCCAUGGGAAAGUCACACACGUGACUUGCACGAGAGACCAUUGAAGGGUAAAAAUGGGACAAUUUUGAAAAAUGAACAAUAUUCUCAGUGUCAAAAGUAGUUACAUUAAAGGAUCAAGAACUAUAACUAAAAUACAUAGAAGUCCCAAACUUAUACCUUUUUUUUUUUUUUUUUUUUCCAACAAAGGCUCUCACUCCCAAAAUUGGGCCAUUUGCACGAUACCUAAUGAUGCUAAAAUCUUCACCUGAACUGACUAGAAUACAAUUCACCCAACCUGCUCUUGUAUGUUCUCUGUGGACGUCACCCAAGCUACCGGAGAUUAUUUGUGCUUUUAGGAUUUUUAUUGUUCCACAGGGAGAAAGCUAGAAGUUAGGAGAAGCUGAUAUCAUCAUUUCUGUGCUUUUAGGAAUUAUUAUUAUUAUUAUUUUUUUAGACUCUGACUAUUUUGUCCUGGAGCUCUUUGGGCACAUCAUGCAUGCGAUUUUCCAGUAGCAUACAUGGCCUAAAUUUAAUAGGAUGAGCAAGAAGUUGCGUUGUUUUUAAUAGUUGGGUGACACUUUUUACUGAGGAUUAAAAAAAAAGUUAAGUGACAUUUUUUACUAAGAAAAAGGUUGGGUGACAGAGAGAGAUAAAAGGCGAUAAUUUGAUCACAUUUUCCGCCAUUUGGCCUGAAAAUAACAAUCACAAUAAACAAAUCGUACGAAUGUAAGAAUGGACGGAAACAAUUUCUCCCGGCCCUGGCCCUGGCCCACAUAAGAGCCCAUCUCACAAAGAGCCCUGAAAGUACUUUCGCCACAACAAAGGAAAAAAAGCCGAGUGGCGGGGCAUUCCCUUUUCCAAGGAAAUAUUUUAAGACGAAAUUAUGACCUGAUUAAUAAUCAUCAAUUGAAAUUUGUGACAUAUGACAUUAUACAAAAAAUUAAAAUUAAUUUUUGAUACCUUUUAAAUCUUCACCCAAAAAUAUGCAAUUACAAACUCAAAACAAAAAUUUUCGUUGAAAUGUAAUUUCUAUUGGGAAGGAUGAAAGAGAGAAGAAAGAGAAAAAGAAAUAAAAUAAAGGAAAACAAUAUCAUCUUUUGAUAUUUUCUUGAGAAUAAAAUGAGAAACUAGAAAGGAAAGAGGAAAACCCAAAAUUAAAAAAUUGAAAGGUUAAAAAAAAUUGUAUUUUAGGAAAGUGAUUUGAAUAUUUUUUCUAAUCAUUUAAGGAGAAGAUAGAUCUCUCCAAUUCCUCUUUUUUAAUUUCAAUCAUUAAGGUGAAAAUUUUUGUGGAAAAGAGGAAGAAUUAAAUAAAGAAGAAAGAGAAAAAGAAAUAAAAGAAAAGAAAACAAGGUAAAUAAAAAGUCAAAAUAAUGCAAGGGCAAUUUUGUCUUAAAGGGGGUUAAGUGGGCAAAAUUAAAGGUUAGGGGGUAAACUGAUAAAUGAGAUAUUUUUUAAGGGGAUAAAAUAUGAUUAACCCUUGAUUAUAAGAGUGCCAAAGAUUUCAGUCUUAUCAAGUGAUUGACAAAGAUAGCUGUGUUAUCCUAUACCGCAUGCCCGUGACUGCUAUCAAAACUCUCUAUCAAAUAUUAUUGAUCUAUAAACAUUUUUUUUUUUUAUCGAAACGGUAGUUUUCUAUAUCAUCGUAAAAAUUUUACAGUAACUACACAAGGGUCCAAGCAAAUGUGACAACAGUCCCACAAUAUUCAAAAUAUUGAUAUAAACAUGCCAAAAUAUUUCAUUUAAGAUUUGAUUUCUUUGUAAUAUAGUUCAUAAAUACUUGUGUAAAUUUCUCAUUCAUUCUUGUUCCAGUUGGAGUACAUAAUCAUGGUCCUAGAAGUAUUUAGUUGUGAAGGCUUCAGCUACAAAUGUAUCAGGAUUAAGUUCUUGUUAAGUUGAACGGUUCAAUCGUUUGUCUCCCAUGAUGGACAAGGAGUAGGUGGGUUGUGAGCAGUUCAUUGUUAAAAUACUUAAAACUACCUGUCUACAUUAAGCUAACACUGGCAGCAGUUUUUGUGAUAGGAUUAUAGAGAAUGAGAACAAAUUAACAAGUUCUCAAUUAUUCUGUUUCACUCAUUUCAAGCAGUCAUGAAGGAAAUAGACCAACUCACUCAUGUAUGAUAUAUCCAAGUAGCAUUCAGCAGCUAGGAGGAACUGCAUUGCAUGCGCUUCUUAUUAUUAUUAUUCAAACAAGGGAACACACAAUAACUUACUGGUACAUUUUACAUAAAACGUCGUUGCUCCAAGAGACUUCUAUUCUUGAAGCACAUUUAUUCUUCCUAGACAACUUUUAGUUAUUAGAAGCGCAGAUACGGUUGAUUGAUUCAGCGCCCCUCCUGGUUAAGCUGAACAUUUACGGUUGCCACAGAUACUGCCCAAACGAGGUGAUGGUAUAGCAUUAACAAGUGCAGCAACGAUUUUCUCGACAUUUACUGCAAGAAGAGCAUCAUAACGGUCACUCGAAUCCUCUCCUUCUUCUGCUCCAGCUAAAUUAGCCAGUCCGCGGAUGGCAAUCACUUCUGACUUGCCAUUCGACAAGGAUGUCUGCACAUAACCAAAGACAAGUCAACUUGCUGCUCCCAUGUAUGCACUACUGUUUUCUUGGGGUCAGUUUGAGAGGAUAAAUUUGAGAUCAGAUAUUCAGUUGCAGGGAAGAUUCUUCAAAUUGGUUCUAGUUUGAUGAAGAAACGCUUUCACAAAAGAAUAAAGUAGAAGAAAGCAGUGAGGAUGAAAGUACUCUGGUAACAAGACAAUAAAAAUUACCAUGAAUACUGCUGCGCUCUCCAUAUCAAUGGAUGAAACAUUGAAAGUACUGUGGAGGAAAUUGCUGUAAGCUGCAUUCUCAACAAAAAAGUCGGCAGUUGUGCCCUUGACUCCAAGAACUAGCUUAGGCUGUUUCGGGAGGCAAACGCCAGCUAGGCACAGGUCUAGCUCAAUUCCCUGUUUGAACAAAACUACCACCGUCAGAAUCAAAAAGAAUUUACUAAAUUGAAAUGUGCGAAAGGGGUUAUUUUAUUUUCGCUUGAAAUAGAAUUUGGCAACAUAAAAUAAAGGUAAUUCUAGAUCUGAAUCUGUGCCUUAUUACCUCUAGAGUGGAAGCGAUUUGCAGCAAAUUCUCGGAUGCCGGGAACCAAAAUUUUCUUUCAGGAACAUCAGGCUCUCCUGUCACGGAAAAGAAGUGCUCUUUCAUAUAAGCCACGCGACCCAACAGAUUAAAUCCGAAUGAGGGAAUGUGAUAGCGUCUGAACUCUAGGUCAGCAACCCCAUUAUCUGGCUGUGGUGCUGUCUCGGAUUUCUGCAAUAUGCAUGCAUGCAUGCCCAGAUGAAGAUACACGCAAAAAUGUAAUUCCUCGAAUAUUGAAAAAAAAAAAAACACGUAGAAUAAUUUUGAAGCAAGGAAAGGACUAAAAUUUUGUCCACUUCACAGAAACAUAAAUAAAUAAAGAAAAUGCGGAAUUCAAUUGCACCAUCAGGUAUUUAGACUUUCCAUUAAUCGGAGCUGCUGUCUACUGCAUACGGAGUGAGGAGAAAAGCAUCAUCCAAAUUCAAAAGGCAACUGGUUCAUAAGCCUUGCUUGCGAAUUUCAGUAAUUAGCACAUUUUUCAAGCCUUUUUUCUCUUUCUUUCUUUCCUUUUUUUUUUUUUAUAAGUGAGAGAUCAUAAAUCUAAAAUCUUCUACUUACAGUUCAUUUCACCUUAUCACCCAACUCAACUCUCCCCUCUUCAACGUUUUGUUUCCACGGUUCUUUUAUCAAGUUGAGUGUAGUGAUUGAAUUGUUGGCAGUUGGCGCUGAUUGUGUGCGCUUGAUUUUGAGAAUCAUUCUCAUUGAAAACGCUUAGACGCUUAUGCUUUAUGAAUCUUUAGGUUUUACCUUUAAGGGAAAAAAAAAAAAAACAAAGAAACAAAGGAAUUAAUAUUACCAGCCAGUCCCAUAAUCCAGUUUGAGAAAACUGCGUUGGGAUUAAAACAUCUCCUAAGGACAGGGAACUGUCGGCGCCGCCCGCACUGCCAUAGUGUAUAACUGCUCUAAUUGGGAAGAUGUCCAACAGUAGUUGGGUCGUUGCUGCAGCAUUCACCUGAUUAAUCCAAUCCAAGCAAAAUUAUUGAAACCUUUUUUUUACUCGUACAAAAGCUCCCAAACUAACGAAGGGUGGCAAAACUAGAAACUGGAACCCAUUGGAACUCAAUCACGCUUACCAGGCCAGUUCCACAUCCGACGAUAAUGACACCAUUAGACCCUAUGGUCCCGAUGUGAAAACGCCUGCCUGCAAUGAAAUAAAUUAUUAGGUGAUAAAAAGUCAGCAACAAAUUUCGAUCAUUAUUAUGAGGAAGCUAGGAAAAAAAAACAGUAGUGGAAUUAAUGGUUGCGUAGCAGAUUUAAUGCAUGGGAAAUAUAUAUUUAUAUAUAUAGAUAUUUGCCUGACAAAUCCACGUAGGGGAAAUCUGGAUCAGGCUUGAAGGCACCAUCAACAGAAAAGGGUGUCUCCUGAUUGCCGCUACCAGAGGAGAUAAGACCAAGAAAAGGCGGUCUAACAGACAACUCCUUGAUUGCCCGAGGCAAAGGAGCGGCUAAAACAUUGACCGCUAGAGAAGAAAUCACAACUGAAACCAGUAAAAGCAAUUUCGUUUGUUUUCCAGCCAUUUUAUGCUACUUGUAUCGCUCUCCUAAUCUCCUUGCUCUCUCAACUCGACUGCAUGGUGCCUAUUUAUAGCACAAAUUGCGGUAAGAUUUGCCAGCUACCAUCUGUAAAUACACUCUUUUAACUUUUCACCACAAACCAUAUUCUCUCCUGCGUUAUUAAUAUUGUCGCUUUCCAAAUUAUGUUUCUGGGUCCAAAUUAACCGCACCGUCAGAAACAAAUUGACUCGCUAAAGUCAGUAAUCAGUAAUGUGGUCCAACAUUUCAAUUAUUUUCACAAGAAUUAAGGUCUACCAGUUGUAGCACUUCCUCGAUCAUCAGAUAUCAUUACUUACAAGUCAUAAUAUGGUUAUCAUUUCAUGUUCUUUGCAACCAGCCACACUGUAAUCUCAGACAUGCUUCCUUAAACAUGGACCGAAUUGUGUUGUUAAAAGUUUAAGCAUUAAAAAAAAAAUUUUGAUUUUGAUGCAUCAUUUAACUACACGGUUUCCUAAUUCUUUAAAAAAAAAAAAAAACCUAACAAGUAUGCCUGAAAUUUCAGAGCUUUCGAGGAAGCAAACGGCUGGCUUUCUGGCCGAUGAUUGAUGACUAAGGAUUUUUUUUUUUUUUUUUUUUUGGUGAAUGAUUGAUUGAGGUAGGAGAUGGAGAUAGGCCAUAUGCAUCACGCGCUAUAAAUACUAGUGGUAAGAAUAAAAACACCAUUUUUUUUGCUUUGAGCUGCAAAAGAAAAGAAUAAGAAUAAAUUAAUCAGAUUUAAAUACAUGUCACGUCCGGUAGAUAUUAAGUGCUUGUUCCGAGCUGGUUAUUAUUGUCAAGUUUGUUAGCUAUGGAACACAAGCCCAACACCAACGUGGAGAUUGAAGAUGUUAUGUUUCACAAAAAAGCAUUGUAUAAAGGCACACAUUGAUAUUAGUUAAUUAGUAAGUACUCUUUUUUUAAGAAAAAAAGAAUUAAAGUUAUUUAACUCCUUGACGACUGAAAUUCGUGACCCCUCAGUUACGAAUAAAGUGUGUGUUUUACCAAUUAAAUCACGUUACAUUAUCUUACACAUUGAUAGUUGUAGGCCUUGAACAAGAAAAAUAUUAAGUUGAAGCAAUCAAGUGAAACUUGUAGUGCAAGGGAGUUGAUAUUCAUACUAAUCUAAGUGCACAUAGCUCGCAUAACAUGAAACAAAGUUUGACAUGGAAUUGGAACAAAAUUGUUUCCUAAGAUGCUCUAUGCAAUGAAAUACCCUUAAAACUUUGGUAUUUGACAUAAAAUGCCAGCCAUGAAUUCAACAAUCACAAUAAACAAAUCGUGCAAAUGUUAAAAGUUAAAAUGCCUGAAAUCAAUUUCUUGUGGCCCGCAUAAGAGCCAAUGUCACAAAGAGCCCUAAAACUACUUUCGCCACAAUAAAAGCGUGCGAAAGAAAGAAGCCAUAUAUGCUUGGAGCUGAGUGACAGGGCUGUCCCUUUCUAACCAACGAAGAUAAGAUAGAAGGGGCCGAUCGAGCUAGGAGCCUAGGAAUGCUCAUACGGGUCCAAUAUGUGAGCUGAUGCAACACUGUACACUUCUAAAUGUACAUAGCUCGCAUAACAUGAAACAAAGUUUGAGAUGAAACCUUAUCCAAAUGUAGUCGCUUCCUAGUGCAAUUACCACAUCGAAUGGUUUUACUUGGAUGUUGUGAUUUUCCUCAUUUCCUAUCCUUUUACUUAGUGUCACUUGAUUUUCACUAUUGUCUGCCCGCAUCUUCCUACUACAUAAUCAAAGAUAACCUUGAAAACAGUUCAUAUUUUCUAUUCAUGAAAAAUUGUUUGUGGAACUUGUGGUUUGCAUUCAACAUUCUGAAAAGCUAACUUAUACUAGUUCGUUUCUCUUUUAUACCCACUCGUUAUAGAUAGUUGUGCAGACGGCAAAUAUAGAUAAACGUGAUAGAAUUUUGACAGAUAUAGGUUUUCUGUUGUAUCAAUGCAGGAGCUACGAGCCCAUCAGUUAUCUUCAUCCGAUACCUUGAGUUCCUAGCUAGCCCUGUAAUGCAUGAACAUCAUAGGGCAAACCUACAGAAGAAGAAAGAAUGAAAAAUAGUGAUACGUACAUUCUGACGUGGUAACAGCAUCCUAUAAUGCUUUUAGAUGUAAAACGUAUAAACAAUGCAACUUUGUUGCUAAAGAACAAAGUGCAGAACAAAAUUGUUUCCCAAAAUGCUCCGAGCAAUAAAAUAGUUUUGAAACCUUCGUAUUUGGCAUAAAUUGCCAGCCGUGAAUAGAGUAAAUGGAGAAAAAUGUCGUCAAACUGUUACUUUUAUCGCUUUUCAUCACUUAGUUAUUUUUGUAGCUAAACAAUGUAUACACUAUUAUCGUUGGAUACAUGACAUGUGUAUGAAAGUUGAAUUUCAAAUUCAAAUUUUGCAUAAUUGUCAAUCAUCCAAUGCUGAUAGUUGUCAAAUUCAAAUUUUACAUAGUUAUUAAUCAUCCAACGCUGAUAGUGUAUACACUGUCAGUUUUGGAAAGAUUAAUCCAUUUUUUUUUUUUUAACAAAGGCUCUCACAGUCUCACUCCCAAAAUUGGGCCUUUUGCACGAUACCUAACGAUGCUAAAAUCCUCACCUGAACUGACUAGAAUACAAUUCACCCAAGCUGCUCUUGUAUGUUCUCUGUGGACAUCACCCAAGCUACCAUGACAGCUACCGUAGAUUAUUUGUGCUUUUAGGAUUUUUAUUGUUCCACAACGAGAAAACUGUAGUUAGGAGAAGCUGAUAUGAUUUUUUUUUUAAAGACUCUGACUAUUUUGUCCUUAGAGCUCUUUGCGCAUAUCAUGCAUGCGAUUUUCUAGUAGCAUUUAUAGCCUAAAUAUAAUAGGAUGACCAAGAAGUUGCAUUGUUUUUAAUAGUUGGGUGACACUUUUUAGUGAGGAUAAAAAAAAAGUUAAGUGACAUUUUUUACUAAGAAAAAAGUUAGGUGACAGAGAGAGAUAAAAGGUAAUAAUUUGAUCACAUAUUGCACCAUUUGGCCUGAAAAUAACAAUCACAACAAACAAAUCGGACAAAUGUAAGAAUGGACGGAAACAAUUUCUCCUGGCCCUGGCCCUGGCCCGCAGUAGAGCCCAUCUCACAAAGAGCCCUGAAAGCACUUUCGCCACAGCAAAAGCGUGCAAAAAAAAAAAAGCCAAGUGGCGGGGCUGUCCCCUUCCGACCGACGGGAAAAACAUAAAAGCCAAGCGAGGAUAGGAAUCCUCGCAUGGGUCCAUUAUUGUUUUAAAUUAAAACCGUGCAAGUGGAUCGACGUUGCUAUCUUCAACCCGGACCGUUAAUUGAACCGGUGAAGUAAAAGGAUCGAAAUUCAAUCUGUCGUAUCGGUUCAACCUCGGUUCAAUGAAUUUUUUAAAAAAUAAUUUAUAUAAAUAUAUAUAUGCACAAAAUAAGACAUGCAAUAAACUAAUUUAAAACUUUAUAUGAUGAAAAGUUUACUAUUUUUGAAUAACUUGGAUUUUCAAAAAUAAAUUUUUUAAAUUAUAAGUUAAAACAAAUAAAUUUAUUUCAAUUUCAAUUAUAUCUAGCAAAAUAAUCUUAAAUCUAACCCAAAAAUAUCACAAUAUUUUAAAAUUAUACAAAAUUCACGUCUAUGAGAAUUUGACAUUGUGAACUUAAAUUUUAAUUUACAUCUUUGGGAUUUAGAGAUUGCAAUUUAAAAAAGAAAGUUUGGAGUUCAAGGGAAGUCAAGAGAAUUGAAAACAGAAAUGCAAACUUGAUAAGAAAUAAAAAAUGAGAUAAAAGUGAGUGGUUGUAGUAUUAAAUAAUUUGGGUUAAAGAAAAAUAAUUCUUUUUUAACUUUUUUCAAUUUAAUGGACAAAAACAAAAUUAAAAAGAUGGAAGAAAACAUCAAUAAAUUAAAACUAAAGAGAUUUGAUUAAAAAGGGAGUGACAAAAAAAAAAGGAGAGAGAAAGAGUUGAAGAUUAAAAAGAAAAAGUCAUGAGAGAAUGAGAUUUUGUAAGAAAAAUGAAAAAAAAAAUAUGGAUGUUUGUUUUAUAUAUAUAAGUUAUCAAAAAAAACAAAUAAGAUAUGAUGGUGCAAUAAAACCCUACAUUGGUCUUCUGUUACAAAAGUCUUGAGUUCAAAUCUUGAUAGAAGUAUUUUGCAAAACUUAAAAAAAAAAAAAAAAAAAAAGAGGGGAAACUUGAAAAUCGGUUCGAUCCGGUUUAGCGAUUUUCAAGAUUUUGAUCGGUUUUCUGACAAAGUCAACACUAUCAUAGAAUCGGAUCGAUACCAUGGCCGGUUCACAAUUCAACCGAUCAAACCGACCGAUCCGAUGCAGUUUUCAAAACACUGGAUUCCACAAGGAGAUAAGGAAAUCGCCACUAGGCCUUUGGCCUGGUGGUCACCACCAACUUGCUACUUUUUUUUUGUCUUUGCUAAUUUCUCAUUUUUUUCUUCGUCUCUCUCUCCCUCUCACACACACACACACACACAAAGAGACACACAUCCCCCCAAACAUGCCAACCUCGGACUCACAUUCCCUUUCUUCCUUUAUGUUUACAUAAAUUCUCUCAUAAAGCAAGGCAUCUCUUCGUUCCAUCAUUUUCUUACCCUUUAAUCUCAGCCUUGACUCCCUGUUUCUUUUUUCUUGUCUCUCUAUCCCUUUCCUUUUAUAUUUUUUUACUUGGCAAGCAUUCUCUGUUGAUUCCUAUGAAGACAUAUUUCCACCAUCAUUCUUGAUCUCUUUAUUAUCAAUUUAAAGGAGUAAAACACAGUUCGAGGUGGGAUUUAUUUUUUUCUGUUGUACAUGCACUUCACUAAGAACAGUACAAAACGGACUAUCCAAAAUGUAAUGAACUUUUACUCCACUUACAAUCUUAUUAAGAACUUCCCAACUGCGACAACAGCAGUUUCCCAUAUCUAACAAUCUUCGUGUAUCAUAACUAUGUUUCUCACAAAUUCUUUUUAUAGAGCCAUCCGGAUGUUUUUUUAGGUUGAAAGCCAUCCAAAUUUUAUUAGAAAAUCAACUAUUUUUAAAUACUUAUUCAUAUACCUUUAACUGUUCAACUGCAACAUCGUCCAUGAAUAUCAUAGCAAGUCUAAAUUCAUGAAAUUGCUCUAAUAAAGCAUGAAAUUACCAAUUGACAAAACUUCUGAUAGCGAGAUAUGCCCAUGCAUUACAUUUCUUAAGGUCUGACAUUAAUCGAAGGCAAUAACAAAUUGCCAAACAAACUGCGCAUGAUAAUCCUCUACCACAAAUUAAUUGAGGAUGAAAAAGUCAGGUACUAAAUGAUUCAAGCUUUCAUCAAUCCGUAAACAAUUCCUAAUCUUCUAAGCAAAUCCGAGUUCCAAAAUUUUCAACUCUCAUUUUCAAUAAUAUCUUUUUUGUUUGACAAAUGUGCUAAGCUGCUGACUCUGACAAUCUACCGAUGAAAAUGAAUAAAAUUCAAUUAGACAUUAAAAUGAAUUACAUACAAUUCUGAGAGCCCCGGCAAAGCGAGCUAGAGAGGAAGCAGAUGAUGCGAGUUUUACCGAGGGAGGGAACGGCAGGUGGAAGAGAAAAGCCGAGCUCGGAGAAGGGAAGGUGCUCGAGAGAUCACCGGAUUUCGGAGCCUAGAUAGCGCCAUGGAUCAUCCGCAAGCAGAUUCGGGCUCUAAGUUUUCCCUGCCUUCGUUAUGCAGAAGAUUACAGAGUAUGAAUUAAACUCAGUUAAUAUGUUAGUAUGUUAAUCAAAAGGGAGUUGAACAAAGUCGAAGAGGGGCUCUUCUUUUAUUACUAAUUAAUUUUUGGGUGUGGAAUUAAAUGAAAAGUUUUUUAUUCUUUUUCUUCGGAAUCCGUACUAAUUGUAAUGGUAACUUGUCAAACUAACCCCUCUUAUUCAUGCUUUAAAGAGAAAUUAAAAAUAGUUUUUUGAAAGCUUACUUUUUUUGUCUUUUUUACGGAAGAUACAAUUUGUACAUGCAAAUGCAGUCAAGAGAGAUGUUUAAGUAAUAGUAUGAGAAAUAAAAAGAUAAAUAAAAGGAUUAUUAUCACUUUACCUCCUUAAACUAUAUCAUUACUGUUAAUUUAUCCAUUAAUAUUAUCUUUUAGUCAUUUCACCCCAUAGGUGUUUUCAGACUCAGAUCGGGCAUCAACUCGAUCAAACUUAGGGGUCGAUCGGGGUUGAACCGGAUGAUAUCAUAAUUAAAAAUUAAAAUAUUGUAUGUAAAAUACUUAAGAGGAUAUUAAUAUUAAUAAAUGUAUAUUCAUAUAUAUUUGAUGUUUCAAAUAUAUUUAAGAAAAUACAAAGGAAUUAGAAUGAUCAAGUAGCAAUUUAUAUUAUUAAAUGAACAUUAACAAGUUUAGAAUUAAAAUUAUGGAUUUGAUUGAAAAAUAACACUAAACUUUAGGACAACAUGAAAUAUUUGAGAUAUAUUAAUAAUUUUUAACAACCUUGAGGCCAAAAUAUAUUAUUGAAAAUGCUUUGACCUUUAAAAAAAAAAAAAAAACUUGACAUCAAACUGGUUCAUCCAGUUUGCCGAGUUUUUAUACAUCCAAUCUUUUGGAGUAACUCAAACCGAACACUUCACCGGUUUCAAUUUGACCGGUCAAACCAGUCGGUCCGGUCCGAGUUUAAAAACACAACCCAUAAGUAAUUCAACUCAGUAUGUUAAUAAAAUUUUGACAAAAAUAUCCUUUUAUUUUAUAACAUUACUGCAUUGUUAUUAUCACUUUAUCCCUUUAAAUUAUGGUGAUAUAAUCGCUUUAUUUUCUAGAUAUUUUACCUUAUCAUUAAUCUAAAAAGUAUGUUUAAAAAUUUUUAAAUGUAUUUAUCUUUUUUAUAUAUAAUUAAAAAUAAUAAGGUUGUAAUAAUUAUUCUUCAUUUUUUCGACUCUAAGAUUUCAAAAACAUAGCAAUAAAAGGGUUUUUUUUAAUUUCUUUUUUCACACUUAUUAAUACUAGGAAAAGAAAAGGAGAUAGGACAAAGGAGUCAAAAAAUUAGAUUUUGCAAAUAAAGAAAAUAAGGAAGAAUAUAAUAUUAUCGUAUUAUUUUAAUAUUUUCGGAAUUAGGAUUGGAAUUGGGUAAUAAACAGAAAAGUAAAAGUAAUUUCAAAAUAAUAAAAAUAUUGAAUUCUUUCUUAUUUGUAUUAAAAAAAGAAUUGUGCUCUCUCCCUUUCCCUCCCCUAUUUUUCUUUUUUUUUUUAAUAUUAAUAAGAUUGUCAAGAAGAAAGAGAUUAAUGUUUUGACUUUUUUUCUUGAUACUAAAAAGGAGAAGAGUCAUUCUAAAUUUUUUAUUGUUUUUAUUAUAUAAAAAGAGGGUACUAUCUUCUAAAAUUUUUUAACUUAUUAAGCUGGUUUAAUGGUAGGAUAAAUUGAUAACAAGAUUAUAGUUUAUGGGGGUAAGGUGAUAAUAAUUUUAACGGUUAAACAUGUCUUAUCACUUAGAUUAAUAAAUUCCGUUAAAUUUGAUCAUUAGUCUUGAGGGUAAAAUGACUAAAAAAUAACGUUAAGGGGGAAAUUGAUAGUAAGACCCAAUGUUGAGGGGGUAUAGUAAAGUGAUAAUAACCCUAAAUAAAAAGGAAUUCAUUUUACAAAUUUUAGUUGCACAAAAAUUAACUAAAUUACAUGAAACAAAACCAACCAAAUGGAUGCACUUAUUUUUAAUUCCACUAUUUUUAACUUAAAUUAGAAAAUCCCUUUCAUAAUUUCCCUACUUUGUUAGUUUUCCAUAUGAAAAAAACUCCAACUUUGGUUUCCAUAUGGCAUCAAAACUGGAAAACAGAUAUGUACAACAACAAUUGUAGGCCUACACAGGAAGGGUGAAGAAACAAGAGUGAGAAACCCUAGUAAUGUGGAACCAUCUGAAUUAAACUGCUAAAGAAGGUGAACAACAGACAAUGAAAACCUUGAUCGUAUAUUCUUGGUUUUGGUUUACAAUUUCCCACACCAAUAUGCAUUUGAUUAUAAGGAUGCUGAAUAUUUUAAUCUUAUCAAGUGAAACACUAAGUGUUUUCCUUUGCCGCAUGCCUGUGACUGCUAUGAAACUUUUUUAUCAAAUAUUGAUCUAUACAUGCCAUAAGUAACUUGUAAAUUUUAUUCAAGAUUUGAUUUCUUUGUAAUGUAGUUCAUAAAUACUUGUGUAAAUUUCGCAUUCAUUCUUUUUUCUAGUCGGAGUACAUAAUCAUGGGCCUAGAAGUAUUUAGUUGUGAAGGUUUCAGUUACAAAUCUAACCAUAAUACCUGUUACUUUCAAGAUCUCUCAAUAUGAAAGAAACACAGAAAAAUGCUUCACCCAAGAUUGGCCUUGGAGGAAUGGCAAGAAAUUCUUAUUCGAAAUGUGAGAAAACGCUUUGAUGGUACAUGUUUAUUCCAAAAAGCCUUCAGUGCACAAUGAAGUCAGUCUAGUUUUGUUUCUUUGUUUAUUAGCAAAUGAGUUCUCAAACUCCUCUUGAUUAACUUGAAUCUCUGUUGCGGCUAAAUAGACUGUUGAAAGUGAAAUCCUCGCAAUGUCUUCACAAAUUGGACAACAGCCUUGGCUACAUUUGAUGCUGCAAGAGGGCCAAACAGACGAAUAGUAUUGUCUCCAUCUUGUGCUCCAGCUAAAUCUGACAGUCCUCGUAUGACAAUUACCUUGAAGCCAUUCGAUAAACAUGUCUGCAAUUCCAGAAAACAUGAACAUAACAAGUUAUCUUGACUAGUAAUUAUGCGCCCCGAGUUUCUAAGCAGAUAUAUUCUUCAGAUUAGUUUUGGUGCGAGGCGUUUACCAUGACUAUGACUGCACUCUCCAUAUCAAGUGAUGAAACAUGAAAAGUUGUAUAGAGGAACUCCCUGUAAGCUGCAUUGUCCACAAAAAUGUUGGCAGUUGCGCCAUUCAGUCCAACAACUACCUUGGGCUUUUCAGGAAGGCACAAGCUCGAGUUCACGCACUGUUCCAGCGCCAUCCCCUGUAUUAGUGAAAAUGCAUCCAUUAGAUUCAAGGGCUAGUUGAAGACAACUUAAGAGGAAAAAAAAUGUUUUAGGCAGCAGCAAUUAGCUGGCUGCAAAGCGAAUGAGGAUGUUACGUAUUAGCGAUAAGCAACCCACCUCCAGACUAGAAGAUACUUCUAGCCAAUUCUGACUUGUCUGAAACCAAAGUGUUCUUUCAGGAGCAUUAGGCUUUCCUGACUUAAGAGUAGAAGAACUCCGUCCAAUACCCAAUGCUCCCCAACUCAUUGUCUCCUCCAUUGGGAACAUCACAGCUUCCAAAGUCCAGUUCAGCAACAUCAUUUGUCGGUAUUGUUGCCUUGAAUUUCUGCAAAAUGAAGAGAUUGUACGCAAAUAAACUCGUAGUCUGCAUAUACUGAGGCAGGAAAUGAGCCAAAUGAUUAUUACCACCCAGUCCCAUAACCCUGUUUGAGCAAACUGCUUAGGGAUGAUGACAUCUCCCAUGGACAUGGAACAGUUAACAUUGCCUGCAAUGCCAAAGUUUACAAUUCCAAUCAUGCGAAAGACAUCCAACAUCUGUUGUGUUGCAGCUGCAGCAUUCACCUGGGCGUACUACAAUUAGACAUUUCUUGAGGUAGUACUACUUAACAGAAAAAAAACAAUGGCCGAAAUAGAAAAAUUCUUUAUUGCCAGCAAAUCCUUCAGUGAUUAACAGAAAAAAUCCUUCAGUGAUUAUCAACAUGAAUAGCUGAGCAAAUGAAAAUGAUUUUGCCAGCACUGAAGCUCUUAAGCAAGCAGUAUCUUUGCUUACGCGUUAAAUACUUCUGUCCAACCUUACCGAUCAACUCAACUUUAUGAUUUGUGAACUAGAUUGGCCAGUGAACUAAAACACCAUAGUUGCUGAUCACAAAUCAUAACAACUACAAGCAACUAUCUGUAAUAACCAGACCAGAAGAAUGUGAAAUGAACCUACCAUUCCCACUCCACAUCUUACAUAAAUGACUUUUGAUCCUUCUAUGCUCCCUACGCGAAACCGCCUCCCUGUAAGAAACCAACCACCAUUUUCAAUCAUCAUAAACGAUACACUUGCUCUCUUAGUACCAUAUUGAAGCGUAUGUAUUGGGGAUUGAUCAUGUACCUGACAAAUUCACAAAAGGGUGCUUCGGGUUAUGCUUGAAGGCACCAGUAGCGAAAAAAGCAUCUUCUUCUGGGCUAUAAACCGUAAUAAGACCAAGAUAAGGUCGCAUUUUUUUUAAGAGUGUUAGUGCUGUCCUUCACAGUCAGCAAAUAAUCUUCAUUUGUCAAAGUUGAGAAGCGUUCUUAGGCACGUUUGUCAGUAGUUUCACAGUUCAAGACUUUAAUGUAAUUCGGGUCCAAUAUGGCAUCGGCCAAAAUUUAGACAUUGUAAUUGAAACAUUUAAAAACCCUUUUCAAGCUCUAGGAAGUACGAAGCACGUACAAAUCUGCCAUCAUUUUUUUGGUAAAAUGGUACGUCAAUAGUUGAAUUUUGCCUUGCUUUUGUGUACCAUUAUUAUUCUAAUAGAGUAAAUCUUAUAUACAAUAAUGGUAUAUAUAUUAUCACUGUUGAAUAUAUGACAUAUAUGCAAAAUUUGAGUUUCAAAUUCAAAUUCGGAUUACGUGUCAUGCAUCUAAUUAUAAAAGUGCGUACACUGCCAGUGUAUAGAAGAUUAAUAUUUAUUAAUAACUUAAAAUUAUUCCUUGGACCAACUCAUGUUAAUAGCAAAUCUAAUUGUUUAGGCACUGGUUUAGCUCAAUUUCCUGUUUGAACAAAACUACCACACUUAGAAUCAAAAAGAAUUUACUACAUUGAAAUGUGCGAAAGGGGUUGUCUCAUUUUCGCUUGAAAUAGAAUUUGGCAACUUAAAAUGAGGGUAAAGAGAAUGUUAAUUCUAGAUGUGAAUCUGUGCCUUAUUACCUCUAGCAUGGAAGCGAUUUGCAGCAAAUUCUUGGACGCCUCGAACCAAAGUUUUCUUUCAGGAGUAUCAGGCUUUCCUGUCUCGGAAAAGAAGUACUCACUCCAAUAAGCCACGAGACCCAACUGAUUAUAUCCGCCAGCGGGAAUGUGAUAGCUUGCGAACUCUAGCUCAGCAGCAUCAGUAUCUGGAUGUGUUGCUACCUUGGGUUUCUGUAGUAUGCAUGCAUGCCCAGAUGAAGAUACAUACAAAAAUGUAAUUCCUUGAAUAUUGAAAAAAAAAAAAAGAAACACGUUCAAUACUUUUGAAGCAAGGAAAGGACUAAAAUUUUUUCCACUUCACAAUAAAAUAAAUAAAUAAAGAAAAUGAGGAAUUCAGUUGCACCAUCAGGUAUUUAGGCUUUCAUUAAUUGGAGCCGCUGUCUACAGUCUACUGCAUAUGGAGGGAGGAGAAAACCAUCAUCCAGAUCCAAAAGACAACUGAUUCUUAAGCCUUGCUUGCAAAUUUCAGUAAUUAGCACAUUUUUCACAUUUUUUCUCACAUUUUUUUCGUAAGUGAGAGGUCAUGAAUCUAGGUGCUUCUACUUGUCAUUCCUCCCAUCUUACAAUACAAUCCAACCCUUCCCUCUCUAGCAUUUUGAUUCCUGAGGAUGGUUAUUCCAGCUCGGGUAUCCCGAGGUCUCGCCCAGUAAUAUCUCUUGAAGCGCCACCUCGGCGGUUAUCAGUUGGGGUGACAUCCACCUCAUUACCGUCUCGACUAACAUCCGUAGCCGAGGUGACACCAGGGCAUCCGACAAUUGUAGAGAGGUGAGAUGUGACCUCUGACACCCCUGACACCUCCGACGCUUGACGGAAAGCUGCUCUGACACGCCGUCUGAACCUGACGGAUGUCCCAUCACGUCCUUUCAUAGAGAUCAGUCAAGUCCAUCAGAUGCAAUGACCAUAUCAGAUCUUUAGGGACCCGUGCUGGCAGUCCCUCUCUCCUAUCCGUCUUCUAUAAAUACUCAACACCUUUACUGAGAAGGGGCAUGACCAAUUUUCUGGUAACACACUACUCCCUUCUAUUACACUAUCUCUUCAUAACCGAACUAACUUGAGUUUCGGAGUUAUAACAGGGGAUCCAGCCCCUCUUUCAACCUAAGCAGGUGACCUCGUCCAAGAGAACUGCCCAGGAUAAAAAUACUUCUCUAGUGCGGGUGACUCACUCCAACGGGACGAAAAUCACCUCUUCAAUUGGCGCCGUCUGUGGGAACCCGAAGACAUCAGAAUAUGAAGCCUGCGCGUUCAAGGAGCCGAAAAGCUCUCACUAUUGGGGCUGAGCAAAGCAACGCAGCCCACCAGGAAGACAUCUCUGAAGGGCAGGAGUCCCCAAGGACUCAACCCGCCAACGAAGAAGCCAUAACCCGUAUGGCCGAGUUUGUAAACGAAAACCCCAACAUCUUUGAGGAGUUGGGUAGGUACCUUAAGAGGCAAGACAAACAGAAGGCUGAAUCCUCUAAAAGGAAGUCGGAUGGAUCUCCUGAAAACUCAUCUGAAGAGGAGUCGGAUGGGAGGCGCCUAAGCCGAAGUGCCUCAAAACGGGCAUUCUCCAAGACCACCUCUAAGGUAGCCUCAUUGACAAAGGCCUUUUCCCGAGGACUCUUGGGACGGCGACCUGAGGAAGAACCUCGGCCCCUGGGAAUACCCGGGGUGAAUUACAUGAGGGCUUCACCCUUCACUGAUGACAUCAAUUAGGAAAGGCUUCUUCCAAAUUUCAAGCUCCCCGCGAUACCGUCUUAUGACGGCCGAGGUGAUCCUGAGAAUCACAUUCACGCCUUCAUCUCGGCCUUCCGCUUAUACUGCAUCCCUGACCCUGUCAUCUGCCGGGCUUUCCCAGUGUUCCUCCAGGGGACUGCUCGAAAAUGGUUCUGAAGAUUAGAACCUAGGAGCAUUUCAACCCUGGGAGAAUUGGUGGAGAGAUUUCUCCAUCGGUUCAUCUCCUCCCGACCUACGACCCGGACCUCAACUUACUUGCUGAACCUGCAGCAGAAUUCGGGAGAGUCACUUCGGUCGUAUGUCCAGAGGUUUCAUGAUGAGAGUGUACAGAUACCUGACCCCAAUGAGCAGGUUACCAUCGCUGCCUUUACCCAUGGGCUCGUCUCCGGAGUGUUCAACACGAAAAUUCACAAAAAAUAUCCCCGCACUCUCCACGAGCUGUGGUUAAAGGUCGAGAAGGGCAUACAAGCUGAAGACCUCAACCGCAUGAAGAAGGAGAUCCAAGCCACCCGCCCAAAGGCUGACCCUCGAAGGGGGAAAGAUGUUGGCCGAAGUGAAGCCGGGACAGGGAGUACUUUCCAAAGUCCUGGCCGAAAUCGCCGCAGCAUGUUCGACAGGAUUUCCAAGGGGAAAACAUUCAUCCCUGAGUCCGAACUGACUCCCUUGAACACCACUCGAUCUCGGGUGUUGUCCGUAAUAGAACAGAACAAUCUCGGGAAAGCACCUCCCAAGAUGUACGGCAGCAGGGAUAAGAGGAACUCGAACCUCUACUGCCUAUACCAUCGAGAUAUAGGGCAUGAAACCGAGGACUGCAACGAUCUCAAGAGGGAGAUCGAGAACCUCAUCCGACAAGGACACUUGAAGCAGUUCAUCCGCCGAGGUGGAGGUCAUCAGUGUGACGAAAACCGACGUGAUAGACGAGGUGACCAACGCCGAGACGAGAGGCGGACGUCAAGAAGCAGCUGCUGGCCUCCUGAGGAUCCUAGGGAGACAAAAAGGCCUCCCCGAGAUGGAUCUUCAGGCCAGGGGCUAGGGUAUGGGCCAAACAUUGCCGGAAUCAUUAACACUAUUGCCGGAGGUCCGACGGGAAGAGAUAGCCAGAACUCCCGGAAGAGAACCUACAGGCAAGCUAACCCGGAUCAGGUAGAGUCGAGUUCUCGCCUAUCCGAAGUCAUUUCCUAUGGCCCUACCGAUCCUGUCCCAGCCGCCUCGAGUAGCCACGAGGCACUAAUAAUCGAGGUGCUCGCUAACAAUUACAUCGUUAAGAAAGUUUACAUUAACCCCGAGAGUUCGGUAGAUGUCAUGUAUCUCCGCACUUUUGAGAGUCUUAAGUUGGCUAGGGAGCACAUGACUCCGGUGCGGACUCCCCUUGUAGGGUUUGGGGGACACAUCGUCCACCCCGAGGGAAUUGUGACCCUGACGGUGACCGUGGGGCACCACCCCCGCUGCCGAACUAUCCCUGUGAACUUUGUGGUGGUUAAGGCCGACUCCCCAUACAACUUGCUCUUAGGUCGACCCACUCUUAAUGCUCUGCGGGCGGUGUACUACACCUACCACUUGAGUUUCAAAUUUCCUACCAUCGCGAGAAUCGCCGAGGUCAGUAGCGACGUCUGCGCUGCUCGGGAGUGUUACCUCGCCACCUUACAAGCAGCCUCCACAUCGACCGCCGAUGUGAGACCCGAGAAGAGGUCAAGUAUUCUCUCGAUAGAUUGUAUUGAUUCUCAGCAACCCGAGAAGAUCCCAAGGCUGGAAACUGGGGAUGAGGUGGAAGAGAUUCCCCUGGACCCCACGAAACCUGAUCGGAUGGUCCGCGUCGGCACUUAACUGCCGGGCCCGAUUAAAAGAGGUAUGGUGGAUCUCCUCAGAGAGUAUCGGGACGUCUUCGCUCGGGUCGCAGAUGAGGUUCAAGGAGUUCCGCACCACCUCAUGAUACAUGAGCUGAAUGUCGACCCCAAAGUCCGCCCGGUUAAACAGAAAAGAAGGCACCUCGGUCCUGAGCGCAGCCGAGCUGUGCAUGGCGAAGUGGACAAACUCCUGCCCGCGAAGAUAAUCCGAGAGGUCCAAUAUCCAACAUGGUUAUCUAACCCAGUCAUGGUCAAGAAGGACAUCGAAACUUGGAGAAUGUGCGUCGACUUCACCGAUCUCAACAAAGCUUGUCCCAAGGACUGCUACCCAUUGCCCAAGGUCGACAUCUUGGUGGAAUCGGCGAUGGGUUAUGAGGUCCUUUGCUUUUUUGAUGCCUUCAAGGGGUAUCACCAGAUCGGAAUGAGUCCAGAAAAUCAGGAGAAAAUUGCCUUCUACACUAACUAGGCAUAUAUUGUUACACCACCAUGCCUUUCGGACUGAAGAACGCCGGGGUUACGUAUCAACGCUUGGUUAACCAAGCUUUUAAAUCUCAGAUCGGCAGGAUUGUCGAAACCUACGUAGAUGAUAUCCUUCUCAAGAGCCACACGACCUCCACAUUCCUUUCCGACCUAAAAGAAGUCCUGAAAGUCCUUCGGGAGACGCGAAUGAUGCUAAACCCCAAGAAAUGUGUUUUCGGGGUCACUACGGGGAAGUUCUUGGGCUAUCUCGUCUCCAGACGGGGUAUUGAAACAAAUCCGGACAAGGUAAGGGCAAUCCAAGAAAUGUCUCCACCUCGAUGUGUCCGCGACAUCCAGAGGCUGACAGGGCGGUUGGUCGCCUUGAACCGGUUCUUAUCGCAAUCAGCCUCCAAGGCACUGCCAUUUUUCAAAGUUCUCAAGAAGGCCGACAACUUUUCCUGGACUAAAGAGUGUCAACAGACGUUUGAGCAUCUAAAGGAAUACCUCAACCACCUCCCAACACUCACCUCACCUCGCUCGGGGGAUAAGUUAUUCUUGUACCUAUCUGCUGCAGCCGAAACUGUAAGUGUCGUGCUGAUAAGGGAGGAAGGUGUACAAAUGCCUGUUUAUUAUGACAGCCAAGUCCUCCGAGGUCCGGAGACCAGAUACACUCAGGCGAAAAAGCUUGUGCUGGCCUUAAUCCAUGCAGCUCGUAGGCUGAAACCAUACUUCUUAGCCCACCACGUUAGCUUGAGGACUGACCAACCAAUUCGGCAAGUCUUAUCACGGCCAGAGGCUUCUGGACGCCUUACUAAGUGGGCCAUUGAGUUGGGGGAGUACGACUUAUCUUACGAGCCUUGUACGACAAUCAAAGCUCAGGCCCUCGCGGACUUCCUAGCCGAGCUCACUUUUGAUGAGAUGAAUAAAGCCACCCCGGCCACUACCCAGGUUACUACCCCGUCUACCGUCGAGCCUCAACGCUGGACUUUGCAUGUGGACGGUUCGUAGUGGGGCAGGCUUACUUCUCGAAAACCCCCAAGGAGAGGUGUGCUCGUACGCCCUGAGAUUUGACUUCGCUGCCUCCAACAAUGAAGUCGAAUACGAGGCUGUCAUUGCCGGCCUACAACUAACUCGAAAACUCGGGGGCCGCACACAUCUUGAUCUAUAGUGACUCCCAACUCGUCGUGUGUCAAAUACUAGGUGAAUACGAGGCCAGGGAAGAGGUGAUGCAUCGUUACCUCUCCAAGGUCCUCCAGCUGGCGACACACUUCGAGUCUUUUGAAAUCCAAAGAAUACCGCGGUCACAAAACAGAAGGGCUGACGCCCUCUCCCGGCUUGCUUCUACCUCUUUCUCCGACCUGAACAAGACGGUUCUCGUAAAAGUUCUAACCGAGUUAGGAUAUAUAGCUGAGGUCGUGUACCCCGUCUACCCUGGGGAUACCUGGAUGGGGCCCCUGACUCGAUUUCUCAGCCAAGGUGAGCUCCCGGAAGACCGAGAUGAAUCACAGAAGUUUCAACGAAAAGCAGCUCGGUACACCCUCCGACAAGGCCUUUUGUAAAAGAGGUCUUAUCUCGACCCCUGGUUGCGAUGUAUCACGCCGGAGGAAGGUGAGAGAAUCCUCCAAGACAUACAUGAAAGACUUUGUGGUGCUCACGUCGGCUACAGGAUGCUUGUUAAGAAAGCUUUAUUGCUUGGGUACUUCUGGCCGACCAUGAGGGUAGAUGCCCAGGUCAUGGUUCUUAGUUGCCCCUCCUGUCAGCACCACGCCCCUGAACACCACCAGCUGACCAACCUUAUGAUACCCAUCACCUCGCCGUGGCCAUUCGAGCAAUGGAAAACUGAUAUAAUCGGCACAUUCCCCAGGGCUCCAGGCAACUAUGCCUACGUGGUGGUAGCAGUGGACUAUUUCACCAAAUGGGUUGAGACCGAGCCCCUGAGAAGCAUCACCGGGGCUGCUGUUCAAAAAUUCUUUUGGAAGAACGUGGUUUGUCGCUUCGGCCUGCCCCGAGUGGUCAUUUCGAAUAAUAGCAGGCAGUUCGCGGAUAAUCCUUUCAAGGCGUGGUGUGAAACUUUGGGGAUUCAACAACAUUUCACUUCGGUUGGACACCCUCAGGCAAAUGGACAAGCCGAAAACUUCAAUCGAACUCUCCUCCAUGGACUCAAGACCAGGCUACACCGGGCUGGAUAGUCAUGGAUGGAAGAGCUCCCCAGCGUGCUGUGGUCCUACCGAACCACGCCGAGGUCAGCAACCCAAGAAACCCCGUUUUCCCUAACUUAUGGGUUCGAGGCUGUCGUCCCAGCCGAAUUCAUUACCUCGAGUCCACGAAUGGUCGCAUAUGCUGCCGAAGUCAAUGAAGAAGAACGGCGAGUUGACCUCGACCUCGCCGAGGAGAAGCGUGAUAUGGCCAUGGCCAAAGUCGCUAUUUACAAAAAUAUCCUAACUGGUUACUACAAUGCUCGGGUCAAGCACUUGCGGUUCAAUCCGGGAGACCUUGUUCUCCGGAAGAACUCAGUUAGCCGAACUGAACCUCAGGAAAAGUUAAAUCCCAAGUGGGAGGGACCGUACUGUGUUGUUGAAUCCAGUCAAAAUGGAUAUUGUAAAUUGGCUUACCGAAAUGACUCUCGGGUGCCCUGAACCUGGCAUGCUGAAAAUCUUAAAUUAUAUUACCCUUGAAGGGUACGUAUUCUUACAUUCCACUUCUUCAAGUUAUUUCUCACUUCUUUCCAUAUUAUUGUAAGUGAAAAAUAAGGGGACAAAGCAGUAUUCAAAAAAAGAUGAAUUCAAUUCGAUCAAAAAGAAGGCAAAAAUAUGCAAGAACAAAAAGUCAAUUUUAUUGAAGUGCGAAAAGUAAAAGGCCGAGGUUAUAUAUGACCUCGGCCCCCAGUUACAAGAGUGAAAGGCCAAGAUUAUCUGUGACCUCAGAUAACCUCGGCCCUCUAUUACAAAAACAAGUGCUUCUAGGCACUCCCUACUUCAGUUUCCUGACCUCCCAUGGUCUCACCCUCCGUCUUGGCAUCCUGAUGCCCUUCAACUCCUCCACCGGCCUGGUCUCCUUCAAGCUCAUCACCAUCACCAUUUGGCUCAAAUUCCUGGAGCCAUUUGUUGAAUUCGGCUCGCACCUCAGCUAGGUCCUUUCCAGACUGGAUACCCUCGGCAAUGCGGUCGCACAGUUCCUUGGCAUUUUCGUUGUAGUGAGAAGCGUUCUGAAGGGACUCCAGUUGCUCAGGAGAGAGAAAGGGCGUUGCCUCGUUAACAGCGGAUGUGAAGCCGAACAUGAAACUCGGUCGAGUGAGCUCGCCGAGUUCAUGAGUGAAGGCUUCCGACUUCCGGAAUGCCUCCACGGCAGUGACCCCGACCUUGUCUAUGGCCUCCUUGGCCGAUUGUUCUUCUUGAGCCCGUCUCCCUCUUUCCUCGUCAAGUGCAGUUACGAGGGAGUUGUUUGCGACUUCGGCCUUCUUCUUCGCAAGCUCGGCCUUGUCUCGCUCCAACUCGGCUGCUCUCAGCUGCUUUUCCAGAUCGGCAAUCCUCUUGUGGAGCUCGUCAGGUGAUUCAUACGUCUGUACGAAGUGCCCGAAGCGUUGGUGCAUCUCAGCCAAGAACGCCGUGGUGGAAGCCCAGGAAACUGAGGCGCUUUGCAUCAGCUCGACGGGAGAGAGCUUCCUGGUGUAGGUAUUGUCCCGUGGCAGGACCGAAUGCACUAGGAGCUCGUGUGCGACUCGGGCAUCUUUGUAUCGGUCGUUCACGUUUAUAUCCCACUCCGGACACCACUGUGACCCGGAGUGCCUCUUGUCCUCCUCGGCCGCCACUGAAGGCACGUGGUGGAGGUUGAACAAUGAGGACCCCGUGACGGGGUUUUUCGGAGUAAUGGCUGCCGCUCGACCCCGAGGUGGAGAGGCUAUCGUCACUCCACGGGAGGGGAUUCCCACAGGAAUGCCAGAGGAUUUGGAUUUCCCCUUCCCCGGCAUGCCCGAGGUAUGUGAACCUUCGCCUAUGAUCACCACGGCGGGCUCGCGGUCGCCCGUCGCCGUGGUGGUCUUUUUAGCCGGCCUGGUAGAGGGAUCAGCAGCAUCCUUGCACUUCUUGGGUGCCCUCUUCACCACUUCGGCCCCUCCCGAAGUGAUCAGGUCAGAAACUUUCACCACUGCAGGGAAUGAAAGAGAGUCGAUUAGAAUUUAAGAAAAAUAAAUAAGUAGAGAAAAUGGAAAGGUACAAGGUUUCUGGAGCCUAGAAGAGAAAAGACGGGGUGAUCCGAGCUGAUCAAGGCUCAGCUGAUCCCGCCGUCCACAAGCACUGCUUCUGGAAAGUCCCAACAGUUAAUUCUGAGGCUCGACCCCAUUAGCUUCUGGAGGUUGCGCUCCUCUAACUUGCCCGGGGACAUUUCUUUGACCGAAGUGGGAGGUCUCCACCAAAACCCCUGGGGGAAGUCCUCAGCCGGAACGAAGAUGAAGUUCCUUUUCCACUCCUUUAUCGAGCUCGGGACGUCCACUACUAAUUUCGGGACUUUAUUCCCGAAGUAGAACCAACCCUUCUCACUCCCGCUGUUCUUAAGUGAAUAACAGCGGCGGAAUAGGUUAACCGUAGGCUCUAUCUCCUGAUGACGGCAGAGCAGUUGGAAGCCGACGAGAACGCGAAUGGCAUUGGGGGUGAGCUGAGUGAUUCUCACCCCCCAGUACCUCAAACAGCCGCGAAGGAAUUUCGUCGUUGGCAUCCUGAGCCCGGCCUCCAGUUGCUCCACAUAGAUAGCCACCCUAUCUUUCGGCGACAGUGCGGCUGACUGGUGCGGUUGGGGUAUGUAGAUACUAUAAUCCCUUCCCCAGGGAUACUUGCGGACCACCUCGACUACUGAGACUUGUCCCAUACCACUACUGAAGAACGGCAUCUGGCCGUAGUUAAGAGUUGUCACGUUCGGAGGAGUGGAAGGCUCUUGUACGCCCUCGUCCCUAGGGACCUCGUUCCCGAGGUCAUCAUUGUAUAGAAUUUCGGGAUCGACCUCGAUCUCCUCGUACUGCUCCUUAGCCGCCCCAACUCGGUGAGACGCCUCAGCUCGGUGGGACGCCUCCGCACCUCCUUCCCCAGCUCGGUGAGACGCCUCAGCACCUCCGCCAUCGGACGCGGUCCUUUCUUCGGAGAGGUCAGGCCUCUCUGCUUCGGUAAAGUCAGGCCUCACCGUCUCCUUGUGUGUACGAGCUGUUCUAGCCAUUAUAACAGAAAAGAAAGAAGUGAACUUAUUUAGAAGAUGUGAUUCGAAGGAAGUGCCGAAGUGAAAAGACAAAGAAGCGGAGCUUUGGGGUGAUUCACGAUUUUUGGUAAAGAUUAAAACGGUGAAAAGGGGCCCCUAUUUAUAGGCACCCAGGGAGAAAGUGAAGAGACGCGUUCUCUCUCUCCUCAUUAAUGAAAAAACUGUUCAUCUGCCGCCAAUCUCGCGCCUGAUCAUGAACCUGCCAUUCAGACUGAUAUCCGUCCUGUCAGUUCCUCAGCAGUCCCAUCCACGCGGUCAUGAUUAUUGGACACCGUGUCUUACACGCUUAUCAGCUUUGAAAAGUAACGACCUCGGGAGUCCACGAUCUCGUCUUCCUCGAAGCUUGGGGGGCUUAGUGAGGAUGGUUAUUCCGGUUCGGGUAUCCCAAGGUCUCGCCCAGUAAUAUCUCUUGAAGCGCCACCUCGGCGGUUAUCAGUUGGGGUGACAUCCACCUCAUUACCGUCUCGGCUAACAUCCUUAGCCGAGGUGACACCAGGGCAUCCGACAAUUGUGGAGAGGUGAGAUGUGACCUCUGACACCCCUGACACCUCCGACGCCUGACGAAAAGCUGCUCUGACACGCCGUCUGAACCUGACGGAUGUUCCAUCACGUCCUUUCAUAGAGAUCAGUCAAGUCCAUCAGAUGCAAUGACCAUAUCAGAUCUUUAGGGACCCGUGCUGGCAGUCCCUCUCUCCUAUCCGUCUUCUAUAAAUACUCAACACCUUUACUGAGAAGGGGGAUGACCAAUUUUCUGGUAACACACUACUCCCUUCCAUUACGCUAUCUCUUCAUAACCGAACUAACUUGAGUUUCGGAGUUAUAACGGGGGAUCCAGCCCCUCUUUCAACCUAAGCAGGUGACCUCGUCCAAGAGAGCUGCCCAGGAUAAAAAUACUUCUCCAAUGCGGGUGACUCACUCCAGCGGGACGAAAAUCACCUCUUCAAUUCCAUUGUUCUUUAAUUUGUCGAGUGUAGUCAUUCGAAUUCUUAGUGAUCGAUAAUGACUGAAUUGUUGGCAGUUGGCACUGAUUGUGUGCGCUUGAUUUUGAGAAUCAUUCUCGAUGCAAACGCUUGGAUGCUUAUGCUUUAUGAAACUUUAGGUUUUACCUUUAAGGGGAAAAAAAAAAAAGAAACAAAGGAAUUAAUAUUACCAGCCAGUCCCAUGUUCCAGUUUCAGAAAACUGCAUGGGGAUUACAACAUCUCCCACGGACAGGGUACUGUCGGCAUUGCCCGAAGUGCCAAAGUUUAUAACUCCUCUAAUUCGGAAGACGUCCAACAGUUAUUGGGUCGUUGCUGAUUAAUCCAAUCCAAGCAAAACGCCUUCAUUAAUCACCAAUUCUCACUCACAAAUAUUGCAACCUUUUUUACCUGUACAAAAGCUAACGAAGGGUGGCAAAACUAGAAACUCAAUUACAAUUACCAGUCCAACUCCACAUCUGACAUAAAUGGCACUAUUAGACCCUAUGGUCCCGAUCGAUGUGAUAACGCCUGCCUGCAAUGAAAUAAAUUAUUAGGUGAUAAAAAGUCAGCAACAAAUUUCGAUCAUUAUUAUGAGGAAGAAAAAAUAGCAGUUGUAAUAGUUGCGAAGCAGAUUUAAUGCAUGGGAAAUAUAUAUAUAUAUAUAUAUAUAUAUAUUUGCCUGAGAAAUCCACAUAGGGGUGUUUUGAAUCCACAAGUUACAAGUCAUAAUGUGGAUAACAUUUCAUGUUCUUUGCAACCAGCCAUACUGUAAGCUCAGACAUGCUUCCUUAAACAUGGAUCGAAUUGUGUUGUUAAAAGUUUAAGCAUUAGAAAAAAAUAGUGAUAAACAUCAGAUGCAGAAAGAAUGAAAAAUAGUGAUAUCCCCAUCAGAUGCAGUUUCUGUAUUGGUAACUAUAAUAUAUUUAGAUGAUGCAACUUUAUUGCUAAACAACAAUGUGCUGAACAAAAUUGUUUCCUAAGAUGCUCUAUGCAAUGAAAUAGCCUUAAAACGCCAGCCAUGAAUUCCUCAAUGGAUUUUCUGUCUCACAUUCUAUGCCACUCUCAGUCCCACUUUUUAUUAUAUUGCUAUUUCUCCUUCAUAAAUAUCAUGUUUUAAUUCUUUUUUGUUUCUUUAAGAUCCAAUAACUAUUAAUUGAGUAAUACACAAAAUUUAAUAAACUCAAAAAAUCAAAAUGCAUAAAAACGAGAUUUUUAUGAAUUUUCUGCUGUAGUUUUUAAUUUUCUAUUAUAUAUUACUUUUUUGAAACUGUUGUAUUUAUUUUUUACUCAAUCAAUAGUUACUGAAUCUUAAAAAAACAAAAAAGAAUUAAAACAUGAUAUUUAUGAAGGAGAAAUAGCAAUAUAAUAAAAAAGUAAAACUGAAAGUGGCACAAGAUAUAGAAUAGAAGAUCCGUUGCGAAUGAAUUCAACUCAACAAUCACAAUAAACAAAUCGUACAAAUGUUAAAAUGCCUGAAAUCAAUUUCUUGCGGCCCGCAUAAGAGCCAAUCUCACAAAGAGCCCUAAAGGUACUUUCGCCCCAACAAAAGCAUGCGAAAGAAAGAAGCUAUCCUUGGAGCUAAAGUGACAAGGCCAUCCCUUUCUGACCGACGAAGAUAAGAUGGGAAGGGCCGAUCGAGCUAGGAAUGCUCGUACGGGUCCAAGUGGUGGUUUGAUGUAACAUUGUACACUUCUAAAUGUACAUGGCUCGCAUAACAUGAAACAAAGCUUGGGAUGGAACCUUAUCUAAAUGUAGCAGCUUCCUAGUGCAGUUACCACAUCGAAUGGCUUAACUUGGGUGUUGUGAUUUUCCUCAUUUCCUAUCCCUUUUUAAUACUCUGACUAUUUUGUCCUUGGAGCUCUUUGUGCAUAUCAUGCAUGUGAUUUUCCGGUAGCAUUUAUGGCCUAAAUUUAAUAGGAUGGAUGACCAAGAAGCCGCGUGCGUUGUUUUUAAUAGUUGGGUCACACUUUUUACUGAGGAUAAAAAAAAAAAAAAGUUAAGUGACAUUUUAAGUUUUAGAAGAAAAAAAAAAAAGUUACUUAGGUGACAAAAAGCGAUAAAAAGGUAAUAAUUUGAUCGCAUUUUGACACCUCUAAUUUGGCCUGAAGUGAAAAUAACAAUGUGGAUAAAAGGUAAUAAUAAUUUGAUCGCACAAAUGUGGCCCGGGCCCGCAUAAGAGCGUGUGAAAUAAAGAAGCUGUCCAUGGAGCCACGUGACGGGGCUGUCCCUUUUCGAACGACAAGGAAAACAUAGAACGUCUCGAGAUAGGAAAGGCAUGGGUCCGUUUUUUUUUUUUUGAAAAACGUGCAAAAGCCAAAAAGACAAAUCGUUAUCCUGAGAAGAUUGCACAAGGAGACGAGGAAAUCCGGGGUUCGACCAAUUGUGGAUAAACUGAGAAUUGAAUGAAAAGUUAUUUAUUUAUUUUUCUUCAGAAUCUGUGUUAAUUGUAAUGGUAACUUUUCAAACUAACCCCUCUUAUUAAUGCUUUUAAGUUAUUUGAAAGUUUACUUCUUUUUUUUUUUGUUUUUUUUUACUGAAGAUAUAAGUUGUACUACAAGUUAUGCAAGUGCAAUCAAGAGAGAUGUUUUAGGAUGAGAAAUAAAAAGGAAUUCAAUUUACAAAUUUUAGUUGCACAAAAAAUUAACUAAAUUACAUGAAAUUAAACCAACCAAAUGCAUGCACUUAUUUUUAAUUCCACUAGUUUUAACUUAAAUUAGAAAAUCCCUUUCAUAAUUGCCCUACUUUUUCAGUUUUUCCAUGAGAAAAAAACUCCAACUUUGGUUUCCAUAUGGCAUCAAAAAACGGAUGAUUUAAGAAAUUGUCCAGAUGUACAGCAACAAUUGUAGGCCUACGUAUGUAGGAAGGGUGAAAAAAACAAGAGUGAGAAACCCUAGUAAAGUUGAACCAUCAGAAUUGAACUGCUAAAGAAGGUGAACAGCAGACAGUGAAAACCUUGAUCGUAUACUCUUGGUUUUGGCUGACAAUUUUCCACACCAAUAUGCAUUUGAUUAUAAGAAUGCCAAAGAUUUCAAUCUUAUCAAGUGAUUGACAAAGACAGCUGUGUUAUCCUAUACCGCAUGCCCGUGACUGCUAUCAAAACUCUGUAUCAAAUAUUGAUCUAUAAAUAAAAAAAAAUUUUUUAUCGAAACGGCAGUUUUAUAUAUGAUCGUAAAAACUUUACAGUAACUGGACGAGGGUCGAAGCAACAGGGACAACAGUCCCACAAUAUUCAAAAUAUUGAUCUAUAAACAUGCCACAGUAUUAUAUCGUUAUUUCAUUUAAGAUUUGAUUUCUUUGUAAUAUAGGUCACAAAUACUUGUGUAACAUAGUUCAAUCAUUUGUCUCCCGUGAUGGACAAGGGGGUAAAGGAGUAGGUGGGUUGUGAGCAGUUCAUUGUUAAAAUGCUUAAAACUACCUGUCUACAUCAAGCUAACAAUGGCAGCAGCUGUGGAAUAAAAUUUUCUUGCAAUUUUUUUUAUAGGAUUUUAGAGAAUGAGUCGCUUUUGUUUUGGAGGUGCAAGUGUUAUUCAGAGUCAGAGGAGAAGUGGUCUUAGGCAUUUCACAGUUGGAGAGACUAAUGUCAAAAGUAAUUGAUUCAGGUCAAAUAUAUGUGGUAAUUGAAACAUUUAAAAGCCCUUUUUAAGCUUUAGCAAGUAGGAAGCACGUAAAAAAUUCAAGGUCGCACCGAACUCCUCUCACGUGUAGAGGCUUUCUCUCUCUCUUGGGAAGAGAGCUUCUUUCUCCUUGGUGGGAACUUCAGCGUUUGAAACUUCAAAGCAACCAAUGAACACAGUUCAAAAGUUUGAAACUUUGCUAUCUUCCAGUUACCAAAAUUGUCUGCAUGUUGGGAUCGUAAAGCCAAGCAUUCACUAAGGAUCCAGAAUCAGAUAUCAUCAAGAAGGCAUAGUGAAGGAAACAAGAACAGGGGAGCGGGUUGUAGAAAAAAAAAAAAAAAAAAAAAAAAAAAAAAAAAGGUAAGGGUACUUCAGUUAGUCUAUUUCCUGAGCAACUGGUCGGAAAAUUCCAACAACUCUGGUUAAGGAAGGACGUCUAGUGAAGGUAUUUUAACUGUUCUUGCUCUUGUGCUCUUUUCCUUUUUCCUAGUACAUUUGGCUCAGCUAUUCAGCUCAGUGUGUUUGUCUGGAGAAAACGUUAUCUUCUUCUUAUUUUUACCUCUAUAGGGUUAGGUGUUUAGUGUGGCUGGUGGUAAGUGCUAGGAGUGCCGUCUGGUUUCAGCUUGGGUCAGAAUGGAGGAGGAAUUGGUGGAAGUGUUACAGAAAUUCGCCCUCUCAGAAAGGGAAGUAGGGGGUACCCUUCUGGAUUUGGGGGACCUAGAUGAGGGCAUUACAGAGUGCCAGGGUAGUAUCAUAGGGAAGAUACGGGGGGAGAAGAUUGCUAAUUUCACAGGAGUUAAAAAUUUUGCUACUGUGGCUUGGAGCUACCCUAAAGGUCUUAGAGUAGCUGAGUUAGGUCCUAAUGUUUUCCAAUUUACUAUCCCGGAUGCUAAGGAUAGGGAACGAAUUCUUGGAGGAGGGCCAUGGAUCAUAGACAACCAGAUUUUAGUGCUUAGAAAUUGGGAGGUGGGGAUAGAGGAGGAUGAAGACGCGUUUAGUGUAGCUCCUGUUUGGGUGCAGGUAUGGAACCUACCCAUACAUUGUCUGUCUAAGACAGUGGGAAAGAAAGUGGGAUCUAUCUUUAGUGAGGUUAGGGAGGUGUUAAUCCCUCAAUCAGGGGGCAAGGAGGGGAAACAUAUGAAACUUCUGGUUCUGAUAGAUAUUAAACAGCCUUUGUUGAGAGGUACAACAAUCCAGAUGAACGGGGUGAGUAAGUGGCUGUCUUUUAAAUAUGAAAAAUGUCCUGACUUCUGCUAUAGUUGUGGUGUCAUUGGGCACAGUGAAAAGAAUUGUAAGUGCCCUGUGAUGGUGAAAAAGGGACAAUACCAGAACCAGUAUGGACCUUGGAUGAGGGUGUUUGGGGGAAGAGGAUCUCCUCAGAAGGAAGGUACCCAAAAGAUGUGGACGCCACACAAGCAGGUAUGGAAGGUUAGAAAUGGGGAAAUGAUCAGAAUAGAGGAUUUAGAGAAACAGGAGAAAGGGGUAGGUCUGUAUGAGAAUAUGGAUUUGAGCAAGACAAAGGAAGUUAGGGGGGAAGAGAGCCAGACUCAUGAGUUAGAGAAGGGGGGACUCACUAUUGCAGAUAGGGAGAAGGCCGGUAGGAUAUUACCAAAUUGGAGCUCUGAGAAGGACAGGGAGAAGGUGAUAGGGAUGCAGGAGGGUAUUAAGAGUAGUACAGGAAUGGAUGUAGUACGAAUAUUGGAGGGUAGGAAUGAUGAGGUUACUAAUAUGGGAAAUACUGAGAAGGGAGAGGUUGGAAGGAUAGGAGAAGGUAAAGGAGGGGAACAAGAAAUACCCAGUUCAGGGGAGGAGCUAGUGAAUAUGGAAACAGAUGAAACCAUAAAUAAAGAAAACCAAGGAGGGUGUAGGAUAGAGGGGAAGAGGUUCAGGAGAGUGCACACUGGACCUAGAGAGAUUAGAACUCCUCUAAAGGAGCUCAAUGGGACAAAAAGGAAGUUUUAUCUGUGUGAUGAAGAAAUGACAGAUGUGGAGAACCAGGAUCACAUAGAUAAAAAGUAUAGGGGAGAACAGAUUGGAGGGAUAAGCAAGGAUUUGUCUGAAGGGGAUGGGAUCAGCCCUCACUGGUCCCCAAAGGACCAAUGAGAGCUAUGGUGUGGAAUUGCCAAGGAGCAGGGAGCCCCUUGACAAUUCCCCACCUGAAGGAGGUUAAAAACCUCCUCUCCCUGAACAUGAUAUUCCUGAGUGAGACUAAGAAUAAAGCUAAGUAUAUGGAGAAGGUGAAAAGGAUCCUGAAUUAUGAUAACUGUUAUGUGGUUGAAGCCAUGAAUAAGGCAGGGGGCAUGAGCCUGAUGUGGAAUGAGGAGACUAAAGUUAAGGAAAUUAAACAUUCUGCCUUUACAAUUGAGGUGUUGAUAGAGGAUGCAGAAGUGAAGAAGGAUUGGUGGCUGAUAGGGAUCUAUGCUAGUUGUGAUAACCAGCAGAGACGAGGGCAGUGGGAAGUCAUCAGUAGGAGGAAAGUUUUGUGGGGGGAAGACUGGCUUAUUAUGGGGGACUUUAAUGACUUAUGUUCUAAUGAGGAGAAGUGGGGAGGUAGAAUUAGGGAGGAGUGGAGUUUCUAUGACUUCAGAAAUUUUAUUCAGGAGAACCAGCUGGUUGAUUUGGGGUUUGAAGGUAACCCAUGGACUUGGAGUAAUCAGUGGCAAAAUGGAGAAAUUAGACAAAGGCUGGAUAGGGGUCUAAGUAGUGGAAGUUGGAGCAAUCUGUUUGAGCACCCCAAGUGUACUCAUUUAGAAAGCUUAGCCUCUGACCAUAGCAUGCUGAUUCUGGACACUAUUCCAGGGGUAAGGAGGAAAAAAAAGAGAUUCUGGUUUGACAAAAGAUGGGUCCAGAGAGAAGGUAUAGGAGAGGUGAUUAAGAAGGCCUGGGAUGAGGAUGUUAGAGGAUCCAGAAUGUUCAGAGUUAUGAAUAAGAUUAAGAGGUGUAGGGUUGCUCUGCUGAAGUGGAGAAAUGAUUUUAUUGAUAACACUAGGAAGAGGAUCUCUACUCUGAAGCAGCAACUGAUUAAGGAAAAAAGUUCAGAGGCUGAAGGUAGGAAAGGGAGAAUAGCUGUUUUGAAGAAUCAGUUAGUGGGAGCUUAUAGGGAAGAGGAACUGUAUUGGAGUCAGAAAGCAAGGCUCAACUGGCUUCAGGAAGGGGAUAAGAAUACUAAAUACUUCCAUGCAGUGGUGAAGGGGAGGAGAAAAAGGAAUAAUAUAGGUAAUUUGCAAAAAGAGGAUGGGUCCUGGACUACGGAUGACAAGGAGAUAGCAGAAGAGAUUGCUAGUUAUUAUAAGCAGCUUUUUAAGUCUUGUAGGACUGAUGAUUUUGAGGAGAUUCUGGAUGGCAUUCCUUGCACUAUUACUAGGCAGAUUAAUGAAAAUAUUACUAGACCUGUAGAGGAAAAUGAGAUAAAAGUAGCUGUUUUCUCCAUGAAUCCCAACAAGGCUCCAGGGCCUGAUGGGAUGACACCUCUCUUUUUUCAAAAAUUCUGGUUAACCAUCAAGGAGGAGGUUGUGAAUGCAAUCAGAUCUUUCUUUCACUCGGGCCACAUUCUCAAAUCUUUGAACCACACCACUAUAUCUCUUAUUCCUAAGGUAGAGUUGCCCACUGAUCUGAAGCAUUAUAGGCCUAUUAGCCUGUGUAAUGUUUUAUACAAAGUAAUCUCUAAGAUCCUAGCCAAUAGGCUGAAACCUGUCCUGGAUGUCUGUAUCAGCAAAAACCAGUCAGCCUUCAUACCAAACAGACAAAUCUUAGAUAAUAUUAUCAUUUCCCAUGAAUGUCUUCACUUCCUUAAAAACAAGAGACAAGGCAAGGAUGGUUAUACUGCUAUUAAAUUGGACAUGUCUAAAGCCUAUGACAGAGUUGAGUGGAGUUAUCUGAAAGCUGUUAUGGAAAGGAUGGGGUUCAAUUAUAUCUGGGUAGCAUGGAUUUUGGAUUGUAUUAGCUCAGUAUCAUACUCCUUCAAUGUUAAUGGAGAGACUAAGGAGUAUGUAAUCCCUUCAAGGGGCAUCAGGCAAGGUGACCCACUGUCACCUUACUUGUUUCUUUUAUGCUCUGAAGGUCUCUCAAACCUGUUAAGGAAAGCAGCACGACAAGGCAAGCUAAGUGGUUUAAGAAUCAGCAAACAAGGACCUGCUAUUACUCAUCUAUUUUUUGCUGAUGACACCCUAAUAUUCUGUAAAGCUGCGGGGGAGGAAGCAAGGACUUUGAAAGCUAUUCUGAAUCAGUAUGAGAAGGGAUCUGGUCAAGUCAUUAAUUUGGAAAAAUCUUCUAUCUGUUUUAGCAAAAACACUAAGGCUGAAGAUAAGAAGGAAACCUGUGAGUCUUUAGAAGGGGUUAGGAUAGUGAGCCAGGGUAAAUAUCUGGGCCUUCCUAUGGUGAUCACAAGGACAAAAGGUCAGAUUUUUGCCUACAUUAAAGACAGCAUAAAGACUAGGCUCAACAACUGGAAGAACAAGCUUCUAAGUGCAGCAGGGAAAGAGGUGAUGUUAAAAGCUGUGACAAUGGCCAUGCCAAUCUAUGCAAUGUCUUGCUUCAAGUUACCAGUUACACUUUGCAAGGAAAUCUCAGGACUAAUGGCUAAAUACUGGUGGGGUGAAGUAGGAGGGAGAAACAAAAUGCAUUGGUGUUCAUGGGACAGGAUGAUGAAGGCAAAAAUGGAUGGAGGUUUGGGGUUCAGGAAUUUAAGAUGUUUCAACAAGGCGUUACUGGGAAAGCAGAUUUGGAGGAUGCUCAGAUUUCCAAACCUGCUGGUAAGCAAAAUCUUAAAAGCUAAGUACUUCCCUAAGGACUCCAUUUUGAACUGUAAAAUCCCCAAAAAUUCGUCCUGGUUCUGGCAGAGUAUAAUGUCAGCUAGGGAGGUAGUUAAGGGAGGGGUACUGAAGAGGGUAGGAUCAGGGAAGAGUAUUAGAAUUUGGAAAGAUCAAUGGAUCCCAAACAAUCUGAAUGGAAGACCAACUACAAUGAGGGCAGAUAGGGGGGAGGAGCAGAGAGUGGAGGAACUAAUUACAAACUUCAGAUGGAAUAGGAAUGAAGUCUACAGGAGGUUCAAUAGGGAGGAUGCGGAUAACAUACUGAAAAUACCAAUCAGUCUGUCAAAUUCUGGGGACAAGCACUUCUGGAUACAUAGCAGACAGGGAGAAUACUCAGUAAAAUCCUGCUACCAGACUUUACUCAAGGAAGAGAAAAGGAAAGAAAGUGAUGCGAGAGGAGAGUCUGGGUCGAGCUAUGAUGACUCCAACACACAAAUCUGGAAAACUCUUUGGGAGCUGAACAUUAAACAUAAGAUCAAGCUAUUCAUAUGGAGAUGCAUUACGAAUACGCUGACAGCUAGGGAAUCGAUCUUCAGGAGAACAAAGCAAGGAUCGCCAUUUUGCUCAAGAUGUGGGGAUGGAAUAGAAACAGUAGAACACAUCUUGUUCCACUGUCAUCAGGCCCAGAAGGUUUGGAAGCUGGCACCAGUACAAUGGGAUGGUUUACAGAAUCAAACAGGAUGCUUCAAGCAAUGGUGGUCAGCAUUAGUCCAAUCCAGAAAUAGAAAUGGAGGAAGGCAGCAUAUUGGAUUGACAGCUAAUAUACUGUGGCAGCUAUGGAAGGACAGAAAUGAAAUGGAGUUUGAAGGGAAAGAGAGAGAUGGAUGGAAAGCUGUACAUAAAGCUAGCACGGAAUGGAUGGAGUAUGAGGAAGCUGGAAAAAGGAUGAAUGAGGAAAGCACACUAGAAACAGAUGAAGCAAGAGAAAGAGCUAGGGAGGAAGGAAGGGAGGAGGAAGACAUGAUGGAACUUCAAGUAGCUACUAAGAGAUCAGCUGAGGGUAAGAGGUUGGGAAUUGGGGUUGUAGCUAGGCAGAAUGGAGGGAGAAUCAGAGCUGAAUGGAAGUUAAUUGAAAGAAGUUCGGACAGGGAUAUUCAGGAUGAAGCCGAAGCAGUAAGAUUGACUAUGUUGAAAGCAAGACAGUUGAGCUGGCAGAAAAUCAAAAUCAUCAAUGCUAAUAAACAGCUUAUUGCCAUGCUUAAAACUGGGAUAGGGGACAACCCAAAUACUGCUACAUUGGUUGAGGAUAUACAAGCGUUAGCUAAUCUGUUUCAAGUGUGCACUUUUGAAGAAAGAACUAGUAGUAAUAUGACUCUAUGUAAUCACAUUAGCCAUUAUGCUUUAAGCAUACUUAGGGAUGAGGAGAGGUUUUUUGGCUCUCCUUAAGUGUCUUGGUACACUUAGUAUAGUUGAUUGGGCCUUUGCUCAGAUAUUGUAAAGUUAGUUUCUUAUAAAAUGACAUCUAUCGUUUCCGGAAAAAAAAAAAAAAGUAGGAAGCACGUAUAAAUCUGCCAUCAUUUUUUGGUUAAAUGGUACGUCAAUAGUUGAACUUUGCCUUUUCACUCAUUUCGAGCAAUCAAUCAUAAGAGGAAAUAGACCAACUCACUCGCGUAUCCAAGUAGCAUUCGGCAGCCAGGAGGAAUUGCAUUGCAUGCGCUUCUUAUUCAAACACACAAUAAUUUGCUGGUACAUUUUAUUUUACAUAAAACGUCGUUGCUCCAAGAGACUUCUAGUCUUGAAGCUCAUUUAUUCUUUCUAGGCAAAUUAUUAGAAGCACAUUCGUUGAUUGAUUCAUUCAGCGCUCCUCCUGAUUAAGCUGAACAUUUACGGUUCUUGCCACAGAUACGGCCCAAACGAGGUGAUGGUAUAUUAUUAACAAGUGCAACAACGGUUUUCUCGACAUUUGCCGCAACAAUAGCAUCAUAACUCUCACUCGAAUCCUCUCCUCCUUCUGCUCCAGCUGAAUUAGCCAGUCCGCGGAUGGCAAUCACUUGCUGGCCACUCGACAAGGAUGUCUGCACACAACCAAAGACAAGUCAAUUUGCUGCUUCCUACUGUUUUCUUGGGGUCAGUUUGAGAGGAUAAAUUUGAGAUCAGAUAUUCAAUUGCAGGGAAGACUCUUCAAAUUGGUUCUAGUUUGAUGAAGAAACGCUUUUACAAAAGAAUAAAGUAGCAGAAAGCAGUGAGGAUGAAAGUACUCGAUCUGGUAACAAGACAAUAAAAAUUACCAUGAUUACUGCUGCGCUCUCCAUAUCAAUGGAUGCAACGUGAAAAGUGCUGUGGAGGAAAUCUCUGUAAGCUGCAUUCUCAACAAAAAAGUUGGCAGUUGUGCCGUUGACUCCAAGAACUAGCUUAGGCUGUUUCGGGAGGCAAACGCCGUUUAGGCACUGGUCUAGCUCAAUUCCCUGUUUGAACAAAACUACCACCGUCAGAACCAAAAAGAAUUUACUAAAUUGAAAAUGGGAAAGGGGUUAUUUUAUUUUCGCUUGAAAUAGAAUUUGGCAACUUAAAAUAAAGGUAAAGAGAAUGUUAAUUCUAGAUCUGAAUCUGUGCCUUGUUACCUCUAGAGUGGAAGCGAUUUGCAGCAAAUCCUCGGAUGCCUCGAACCAAAAUUUUCUUACAGGAACAUCAGGCUCUCCUGUCUGGGAAAAGAAGUACUCUUUCAUAUAAGCCACGCGACCCAACAGAUUAUAUCCGCCAAUGGGAAUGUGAUAGCGUCUGAACUCUAGGUCAGCAACCCCAUUAUCUGGCUGUGGUGCUGCCUCGGAUUUCUGCAAUAUGCAUGCAUGCAUGCCCAGAUGAAGAUACAUGCAAAAAUGUAAUUCCUCGAAUAUUAAAAAAAAAAAAACACGUAGAAUAAUUUUGAAGCAGGGAAAGGACUAAAAUUUUGUCCGCUUCACAAAAACAUAAAUAAAUAAAGAAACUGAGGAAUUCAAUUGCACCAUCAGGUAUUUAGGCUCUCCAUUAAUUGGAGCUGCUGUCUACUGCAUACGGAGGGAGGAGAAAAGCAUCAUCCAAAUCCAAGAGGCAACUGGUUCAUAAGCCUUGCUUGCGAAUUUCAGUAAUUAGCACAUUUUUUCCUUUUUUUUUCUUUCUUUCUUUCUUUUUUUGGUAAGCGACAGAUCAUAAUUCCAAAAUCUCCUACUUCAAUGUUUUAUUUCCGCGGUUCUUUUGUCAAGUUGAGUGUAGUGACUCGAAUUCUUAGUGAUACUGACUGAAUUGUUGGCAGUUGGCACUGAUUGUGUGCGCUUUAUGAAACUUUAGGUUUUACCUUUAAGGUAAAAAAAAAAAAAAACAAAGGAAUUAAUAUUACCAGCCAGUCCCAUAUUCCAGUUUGAGAAAACUGCAUUGGGAUGACAACAUCUCCCACGGACAGGGAACUGUCGGCGCCGCCCGCAGUGCCAAAGUGUAUAACUGCUCUAAUUGGGAAGAAGUCCAACAGUAGUUGGGUCGUUGCUGCAGCAUUCACCUGAUUAAUCCAAUCCAAGCAAAAUUAUUGAAACCUUUUUUCACUCGUACAAAAGCUCCCAAACUAACGAAGGGCGGCAAAACUAGAAACUGGGACCUAUUGCAACACAAUCACGCUUACCAGUCCAGUUCCACAUCCGACAAUAAUGACACUAUUAGACCCUAUGGUCCCGAUGUGAAAACGCCUGCCUGCAAUGAAAUAAAUGAUUAGGUGAUAAAAAGUCAGCAACAAAUUUCGAUCAUUAUCAAGAGGAAGAAAAAACAGUAGUAGUAAUAAUUAAUGGUUGCGAAGCAGAUUUAAUGCAUGGGAAUUAUAUAUAUAUAGAUAUUUGCCUGAGAAAUCCACGUAGGGGUGUUCUGGAUCCGGCUUGAAGGCACCAUCAUCAGAAAAGGGUGUCGCUUGUUUGUAACUAUGAGCGGAGAUAAGACCAAGAAAAGGCGGUCUAACAGACAACUCCUUGAUUGCCCGAGGCAAAGGAGCGGUUAAAACAUUGACCGCUAGAGAAGAAAUCACAACUGAAACCAGUAAAAGCAAUUUCAUUUGUUUUCCAGCCAUUUUAUGCUCUUUCUAUCGCUCUCCUAAUCUCCUUGCUCUCCCAACUCGACUGCAUGGUGCCUAUUUAUAGCACAAAUUGCGGUAAGAUUUGCCAGCUACCAUCUGUAAAUACACUCUUUUAACUUUUCACCACAAACCAUAUUCUCUCCUGCGUUAUUAAUAUUGUCGCUUUCCAAAUUAUGUUUCUGGGGCCAAAUUAACUCGCUGUUCUUGAUUGUAUACCGUUAAAGUCAGUAAUCAAUAAUGUGGUCCAACAUUUCAAUUAUUUUCACAAGAAUUAAGGUCCACCAGUUGGAUAUCAUUACUUACAAGUCAUUAUAUGGAUACCAUUUCAUGUUCUUUGCAACCAGCCAUACUGUAAUCUCAGACAUGCUUCCUUAAACAUGGAUCGAAUUGUGUUGUUAAAAAAAUAUUUUGAUUUUGAUGCAUCAUUUAACUACAUGGUUUUCUAGUUCUUUAAAAAAAAAAAAAAACAAAACAAAACUAACAAGGAUGCCUAAAAUUUCAGAGCUUUCGAGAGGGCAAACGGCUGGCUUUCUGACCGAUGAUUGAUAACUAAGGAUUUUUUUUUUUUUUUGGGUGAAUGAUUGAUUAAGGUAGGAGAUAGAGAUAGGCCAUAUGCAUCACCCUUAAAAACAGUUCAUAUUUUUGUUUAUGGAACUUGUGGUUUGCAUUCUACAUUCUGAAAAGCCAACUUAUAGUUUGUUUCUCCUUUUUUUCACUCGUUAUAGAUAGUUGUGCAGGCGGCAAAUAUAGAUAAACGUUAAAAAAUUUUGACAGAUAAUUAAGGCUUUCUGUUGUAUAAAUGCAGGAUCUAUAAGCCCAUCAGUUAUCUUCAUCCGAUACUUUGAGUUCCUAGCUACCCCUGUGAUAUAUGAACAUUAUAGGGCAAACCUAUAGAAGAAGGAAAAAAUGAAAAAUAUAGUGAUAUAUACUAUCUCGUCCCAUUGAUAGUGUCAUACUUUUCUUUUUUAUCUGUCCCAAAAUAAUUGUCACUUACUAAAAUUGGCAAUGAAAUCUUUCACACAUUUCUAUUAUAUACCCUUCAACGUGACAGCCCUUUCUUAUUUUUUAGUGGGCCUAAUUAUGCACUUACCAAGUACCAACACUGCACUUAAUAGUUUGUGACUCCUACGUGAAAUGCAAAUAACAACUGUGCAUGAUACUUAAUUUCCUCUAAAGUAGUGCGGAGACAUUUCAUUCUUUUGGGUUCCACAUGUCUUAUCAUACCUUGUGGCCUUUUUAUCAUUCAAUCUCGUAUGAAUACAUUGAAAGUCAAGCGAUGUAUUACCGGAAAUUGAACGCAAAUCAUUUAAAAGUCUUGCACCGUUGAUAAUAAUUGCAAGUCUCCCGAUGUGAGACACACUUUCUGCGGCGGAGGGAGUACUUUCUGACGUAGUAACCUAUAAUACUUUACGGUUGCUGCUACGGUAGAAAGUGGGAUGCACUUCCCAGCGUAGGCAGAAUGCCCACUAGAAGUACAAGUCAGCAUGAGCAUCUUUGUCCGUGUUUUUGGGACCCAAUUGAGGGAAGGUAAGCGGCAGAGGCUGUUAUCAUCUUAAGGGACUAACGGCAAAUACCAAUAUAAACUGUUGGGUCGUCAAAUGAAUAAAGAAUGUCUCAGACAGGACAGUAAAAGUCAUUAUUAAUUUAUGAUAUGAAUAGAAUCAAAUGAUUAUAUAGGAUUUUCAAAAAAUUAUUAUUUUAUUAUUUUAUCAAAAUUAUUAAUUUAACUCGUUAAGCAAGUCGAAAUCAAAAUUUAAAUUGAAUUCUAAUCUGAGUUUUGAGUCAGUGGAUUCGAAUGACUCAUUUAAAUCUAAACGCAUAUUAAAACUCAAUUAUUCAUGGGGUUAAGUAAAUCCACUAAGUAUUGUUAAAAUUUGUUAGACACAUUUACUAUUACAGUAUUUUCUUUUACUUUUCCCCUUCUCUUUCUUUCUUCUUAUUUUGAAAAUUAAGGAAUCUUUUCAAUUGUUGUGUAAAUGAUUUCUCAUGUUAAUACACAAAUCCAUUUUAACUCUUGUAAUAUUUCAUCAAUUGAAACUCGUCACAAUUACCAUUUAUAUUAUGGUACAAAUUUUCAUUGGGUCUUUUCCUUUUGAUUUGGAUAAAAAAUUUAUUCACUAAAUUAAUGUUUUUAAUUUAAUAAAAUAUUAUUACUUAUGUUUAAACAAUAUACGUGAACCUUUUUUUUCCUUUUUAGAUCAGAUGGUAGUGUAUAUAUGAUAAUUUAUCAUUCAAAAUGCAUAAUAGGCAGAUAAGGACCAUAAGGUUGAGGCCCAAGAAUUACAGAUUUUAGAUUCAAAUUCCUCUACCCACCCACUAUUUCUUAAAUCCUACCUCUUCCCUAAUAAAUUUUUUUAAAUGUAGGGACUUAACUCUUACAUGCAUAAGCAAAAUCUAAUUUUCAUCCAAUUUCUAAUUAAAUAUUUAUUCAUAAUACUAACAACUUAUUGCUUUCGUCAGUUGUUCAUAUACCAUGUCUUCCUAGUCGAGGGAAUCUGGAAAUUCUGAUGCAAUUAAUAACUUUUUUGCUUCAUGAAAUACUCCUCUCAUUUCAUUCUCCAUUUCUCUAAGAUUAUGUGAUUUAUAUACAAAAUGUCAUGCGAGAGUAGGAUAAACUUACAUGUAUAUAUAAGCGUGUGUGUGUGUCUAUAUAUAUAUAUAUAUAUAUAUAUAUAUAUAUAUAUAUAUAUGCUGAUGAUAAGUCAAACAAUCCUAAGGCUCUAGCAUUUAGAAUACAAAGUUUUAAUUUAAAGGCGCCAUCAUUUAAAUUCUAAAUUUUCAGUUUAGAGUCCGAAUUUUCAAUCCAAAGGCGUCAACAUUUAAAAUAAAAAAUUUCGAUCUAACCCGCAACUACCAAACUUCAAAUUUUCAUUGAGAAGGCGGCAACUACUAGUCCCCCAAAACUUCUAUUGAAUAUUGCAUAGAUUGAGAAAUAAUUAAACUCCAUUAUUGGAAAUACAUAAUCGCUAAUUUAAAAAAUUUAUUUAUAAUGGAUACAUAUCACCCCUAGCUUGAAAUAAUAAUAAAAAAAUUAAAAUACUCUUUUGUGUAUAGCUGGCAAUCGGGCAGGUUGGGUGGGUUAAUAAUGGAUUUUCACUUAAAUGGGUUAUACCCAACCCGUCCAACUUUAGAUUGGGUUGAUUUUGGAUUGGGUCAUAUUGGGUAAUCUCAAAUCCAUGACCCAAAUAUGACCCAACAUAUUAAUUAAUACAUUUUAAUACAUAAACUUUUUCAAAUACAUUUUAACACACAUAAAAGAUUUUUUAAAACAUAUAAACACAUUUUCACAUACAUAAAUGUAUACAAACACACACUCACUUUCUUAAGUUCCUUGGAAACAUAUCAUAAACAGAAUAAUAUUUUAUAUUGCUUGUAUUGUGAAUUUUAGAUAAUAAAUUGUACAUUUAACGAAGAGCAUAGCGCCCCCCCCCCCACACAAAACACCACCUUAAUCUUUUCAAUAAUCUCUUCCAUUGAUCCACUAUCAAUUUUUGUGUCCCUUAAAAAACUUUGAUUUGUGAUUUAUAGUUUGUCAUGUUCAGUAUAACUAGUUGCAGAGUUAGAAUUUAAAUUCAUAACCAUCUAGUUAUUUUAAUAGUUCAAACGUUCAAUCUUUGAAACUUUUGUGUUAUGUGAUUUAUGUUUAUGAUUGUUUUAUCUACAAUCUCAAUUCUAGUUUCUUGGUGUAUUAUGUUAAUUAUAUUUAUGAUUACUCAUUUACAAAUUUGAUAUCUAUUUGAAAGUCACCAUGUUACGUAUAAGAUUACUUAUCUAAUUUCUAAAUUAAAAUUAAAAUCUACCAGGUCAAUUAUGUCACGAUUCUGGUUUUUUGUAACACUAUGUUAAUUAUGUUUCUAAUUAUUCUUCUACAAUUUUGAUUCCAAUUAAAAGAUCACUAUCUAUGAGCACUUACUUAGAGGGAUCGCUGUUAGUAUAAACUUUUUAAAAUCAUUUUCUAAACUUUCAAUUUUAUCCUUAGGGAAAAACUUUUAAUUUUUCCUCUAAUUGCUUAAUCACAUUUUGCCAAUAUAACUACCCUAAGUAUUGUAAUUACCAAAUUACUAUAACCUUCUGAACCAAAAUUCUUCAAUAAAUUAUUGUGAAAAAUAAAAUUUUUAUACAAAUUAAUUCCUUUUAUUUAUUUAUGUAUAUAAUUACUCAUCUACGCAAACUAACAAUUAAAUUUAAUCCUUAAGAUUGAAGUACACAUAAAUACAUUUAUGGGCUUUUAACUUACCAAGGGUAAAUGCAAUAAAGAAAAAUCGCUUUUGAACUAAUGAACAUAAUUAAAAAAAUUGAAUGGCAAAAAUUGGAUAAAUUACUUUUAAAAAAGGGAAAAAAAGAAGAAGGGACAGCAAAUGUGAAGAUUGUGCAAAUGUAGAUACAUUUUAGUAUAAUAGAAUACUUAGUGAAUAUAGGUGCAUUGUUAUCUAUACUAUAUAUAAAGUUUGAGGAAGGGAUUUGGAGUUAACAUUUUAUGAACAUUUUUUAUCCUUAUAAAAAUUAAUUUUACUUUAACUAUCUAUAACUACUCGUCGCUACUUUUACUUCUAACUAUUUAAGCAUAUGUUUUUAACAUAACUACCCCUAAAUAUUAUAACUACUAAUAUAAAUUAUUUUAUGAAAAUUAUUUAAAACAUUAAAGUUUGUUUCAAUAAUAAAAAUUUUAUUUAAAAUAUAUUAUCAUAAAUAUUAUAUAUUUUUUGAUUGCACGCACAUUAUGAAAAACGAAGCAGAAUAUGAUUAAUAGUCCUAUGAUUAAUAGUCCUUAAAUCAAUAGGACUAAAUGCGCUUAAUCAAUAGUCCCAAGGAUUAUUGCAUCUGACCAAUUUUUCCAAAUCUUUCAGCUAUUUGCAGCUUGUUUCCUGCUAAUUAGGCAUGGGGAGCUACUCUCCAAUUAAUGAUAAUUCUUUAAUGCAUACAAAUGCCCGCAACUUGUUUCCCGCCAAUCAGGCAUGGGGAGCUACUCCAGAAUUAAUGAUAAUUUUUGGGUGCAUACAAAAGUCCAUAAGUUGUUGAGGGGCAUACAUGUUAUUUAUCCUAAAAGUACAAGGGACAUGGUGAAACUUUUUCUACCAGGUUCCGGUCACUACUUUUAAUAACCUUUCUUCACCCAGGCCCACACUGCUGUGUUGUCCUAAUUUCCUUGGCUCUUCCCACCGUGCAUAGGAAGGUCAGCUUUCCACCGUAGAUGGAACCAAUACUUUUAGAUGUAGAACGUACAGACAAUGCAACUUUUAUUGCUAAAGAACAAAGUGCUGAACAAAAUUGUUAAGUUUUAAAACUAUUAUUGUAUUUGACAUAAAAUGCCAGCCGUGAAUAGAGUAAAUGGAGCAAAAUGUCGUCACACUAUUACUUUUAUAGCUAAAAAUGUCACUUAAUUAUUUUGUAGCUAAAAAUGUCACAUAACUUUUUUUCGUAGCUAAAAAAUGGCAUUUAACUUUUUUUCUUAACUAAAAAUAUCACUCAACUAUUUAAAGAUAACUUAUCAGUAAUUACGUUAAGUUUGUGCAUCAAAGCCAUGGAAAAGUAACGCACGUGACUUGCACGAGAGACCGUUGAAGGGUAAAAAUGCCCGAAUUUUCUUUUAGAGACAAUUUGGAAAAAUGAACAAUAUUCUCAGUGUCAAAAUUAGUUAUAUUAAAGGAUCAAGAACUUUAACUAAAAUACAUAGAACUGCUAGCUCAUGUGUUCUCUGCGGACGCCACCUAAGCUACCGGAGAUUAUUUGUGCUUUUAGGAUUUUUACUGUUCCACAAGGAGAAAACUAGAAGUUAGGAGAAGCUGAUAUCAUUUCUGUGCUUUUAGGAUUUUUUUUUUUUUUUUUUGAGACUCUGACUAUUUUGUCCUGGAGCUCUUUGCCCGUAUCAUGCAUGCGAUUUUCUGGUAGCAUUUAUGGCCUAAAUUUAAAAGGAUGACCAAGAAGUUGCGUUGCUUUUAACAGUUGGGUGACACAUUUUACUAAGGGAAAAAAAAAAAGUUUAAGUGACAUUUUUUACUAAGAAAAAAGUUAGGUGACAGUGAGACAUAAAAGGUAUUAAUUUGAUCACAUUUUGGCCUGAGGUGAAAAUAACAAUCACAAUAAACAAAUCGUACAAAUUUAAGAAUGAACGGAAACAAUUUCUGCUGGCCCUGGCCCUGGCCCGCAUAAGAGCCCAUCUCACAAAGAGCCCUGAAAGUACUUUCGCCACAACAAAAGCGUGAAAAAAAAAAAAAAGAAAAGAAAAAGAAGCCAUCCAUAGAGGAGCCAAGUGGCGGGGGCUGUCCCUUUCCGACCGACGAGGAAAACAUACAACGUGCCGAGGGAGGAUAGGAAUCCCCGUAUGGGUCCGUUAUUGUUUUAAAUUAAACCGUGCACGUGGAUAGACGUUGCUAUCCUCAGAUUGCACAAGGAGAUAAGGAAAUCCAGGUCGACCAAUCGUGGAUAAACUGAGAAACAAACGCGUAGACUAAGAUUUUACGUGAAAUAUCGCAUGGGAUGGGAGUUUCCUCCAGGUGUACUAGCCUUCAAAAUUUUAGAAAUUUGUCGUAUGCUGUACAUAACAAAUGAAGAGGGGGCAGGAACGGGAUUAAUUGCCUGAAGCCAAUUAAUAUAAUGUUUUGCUGCCCAGACAUAUUAAUUGUGUUUGACAAUAAUGUUGUUCGUAAACCGGAUUUGCCAAACUAUUGACGGGAUUAUGUUGGAAUGCCUGAAAACAUUUUGUGCCUCAGCACACCUUAUGUGAGAUCAUCCUAAACAAAGAAUGCUAUGAAACUGGAUGGAGUCUUUAUUCACAGAUUUCUUGUGGCCAGUUUUUUUUUUUUUUGUGUAGGAGAAUAAGCUCCCAUCUCAAUCAAGCUUCAUAAAAAUCGUAAUGAAUGGCAAAAUUUCAUGCUCGUAUGGAUAUUGUAAUGAAAGUCUUGUACGGUUAAUUCUAUGUAUGCCCCCGUUGCAGUGUGGCAGAAAACAACAACAUUAAUGUCAUCAAGUUUAUUGCGAGGCCUUAAACCACAUUGAUGUUUAUAUGGUGGCCUUUGAUGAGGAUUAUUUGCAUCUUUGUGACUAAAACUUGUAAAUGACCUGCUCAUAAUGCCUUCACAAAUUGAACAACAGCUUUGGCGGCAUUUGAAGCUGCCAGAGGCCCAAAUGAGUAGAUUGAAUUCUGCCCUUCUUGUGCUCCAGCUUGGUCGGAUAGUCCUCGGAUGACAAUAACCGGAAACCCAUUUGACAGACUUGUCUGAAAGGCCAGAACACACACAGAGUUAGUUAUCUUGGUUGUUAAAAGGAAUGAUUCUGAGAAACCAAGAUUCAAAUCUGUUGAGAAUUGAAAGGUAUGUGAAAAUUGAUCCAACGUGGUUGGUUUCUGCAUAUGUCAAGACGAAUUUAGACUGCGGAUUUGCAGAACAGGUGACCAAGAGCAUGACCAAGCUUUGGUACACCUGAGUUGUAAUGGCUGAAAUACACUGACAAGAGAAGGGAACUUGCCAUGACUACGGCUACACUCUCCAUAUCCACUGAGGAGACGUGGAAAGUUUUGUAUAGGAACUCCCCAUAAGCUGCAUUGUCCAGGAAAAUGUCAGCAGUUGCGCCGCUGAGUCCAACAACUAGCUUGGGCCUUUGAGUUAGGCACGAGCUCGAGUUCACGCACUGCUCCAGCACCAUCCCCUGAAACAGGAAAAAUAGCACGAGUCUUGAGUAUUUUUGACACUUAAUAAUUGCUAAGGUUUUUCAGGCUUCAGAACCAGAACGAAUGCAACGGAUCAUAAGCAUGGUUCGAAGUCUCGGCCGAGACCGAGACAAGAUGACUCCAAGAUACUUGACUCGUCAAGAACUCGAUCGAGUCACCGAUAACUCGGCCGAGAAGUCUCCGAUACAGAUAUUCUUGGCCCAAUCAGCCCGAGUCAAUUCGCAAAUUUUCUUUUGCUAUUUUUUUUAUUAUUUUUGUUUAGCAUAUUUUUUAAUAUUAUGUAUAAUUUUUAAAAUAUUAAAAUGCUUCAAAAUUUGCGUCUCGUCGAAACCAUGACUAAUAUACCAAGACCGAUGUGAAACGAUUUGCACCGCGACCGCAAUCGCGACUGUGACUUUGAACCAUGAUCAUAAGGGAGUCCUAUACUAAUAAAUCUUCGAUUGAGAAAGAAGAGGAAAAAUACAGAAGAUAAGAGAAGGAAUAGUGUCGAGUCAUUUCUUACCUCAAGAUGAGUGUGUGCUAAUUCAAGCCAAUUCUUGCUUACGUGAAACCAAAGCUUUCUUUGAGCAGUAUUGGGCUUUCCCGACUUCGAAAAGAACUGCUCAGUGUUGUAUCCAAUGCUCCCCAAUUCAUUAUAUCCUCCGGAAGGCUCACUGUAGGCUCCAAAAUCCAAUUCAGUAAAAUCACCUACUGGGAUUGUCGCAUUAGGCUUCUGCUCAGGAAAAAGAUUCAUGUAAAUCAGUCGAAAACAGAUGUAUUAACAUGUUAAAAGCAAGAAAUGGAAGUUACGAGCCAAUCCCAUAAGCCCGCCUGAGCAAACUGCUUGGGGAUGGUAACAUCUCCUAUGGACAUGGAAUUAUUAAUACUGCCCGCGAUGCCAAAAUGCACUACUCCAAUUACAUCAAACAUAUCUAACAUUUGUUGCGUUGCUGCUGCAGCAUUCACCUGAGUGAAACAGGAUGACGUUUGUAAGGUUGUCAUUGACCAAAAGGGAAACCCAAAAAAAUAAGACGAAGUAGAGGAAAAAAAAUACAUAAAUCAUAGAAAUUAAGCACUUUAUGUUGGAAAAUUUCUUUCUGUCUAAUAUUGUUCAGUUCGCUGCAUCUAAUCUUAGCUCCUUUAGAAAGGCAUCAAUACUUUCUCAUGUCCCAAUUCAAAGGGCUCCUAUACUUUUAAAAAAACAAUAAGAAUAAUCUGACUCAGCCGCGAACUAGAGAAAAUAUGAAGCCUACCAUUCCAACCCCGCAUCUCACAUAAAUGACUUUCUUUUUUCCCAUCUUCCCUACUCGGAAGCGCCUGCCUGCAAGAGAAUAGUAGAAACCAGGACCUCUUCCUCAAUAAUCAAAGUUAUAUAUGGACGGACUUUACCUGACAAGUCGACAUAAGGGUGUUUUUGGUGAGGUUUGAAUGCACCAGUGCCAAAGAAAGCAUCUUCUUCUGGGGGAUAAACCGUGAUCAAACCAAGAUAAGGCCCCCUAAGGUUAACCUCCUUCAGUAUUGUUAAUGAAGAUCCUAAUGUUUCUGCUGAUGACAGAAGGGCGGACAACGACAGACAACACAACAGAGCGGAAGCAAGAUCUAUCAUCACUAAUCCUCUUUCAGUGACUUGUUUUGCAGCCAUUGUCGUAUUUCUUUUAGCAUAGACGAUAACUAAUGUUUGCUUGGGAUUUCUUUUGUGCUCAAGCAGUCAAGGCCUAUUACUCAGUCGUGUCUGUCUCUUUCAACUCUUCGAAAAAAGUUUUGAGCAUUGAAGAAGGAUAAGUUCAUAUUUGGCUCAUUCAUUGGAUUUUCAACCAUACUUGCAUGAGUCCACAUCUUCCAUUCAAAAGUUUGACUAAUUGGAUCUGACCAGAACUAAUACGUUAUUGCCACUAGGGAGUAGGGAAAGGUCUGAAUCAUUGAGGGAGAAGGUAAAAUGAAAUAGUAACCGGCAACUUUUGACAAUUUAUGACAACAUUUAACAUGUCCCUCCCUUCUGGACAGCUCGUUUGGUCGCGACAGCCCCUUGAAAGUCAUUGUCCAACUCUCCCACCAGGGUUCGAAUCCCAGCGAUUAUCGUGUUCGAGGGGAAGGGACCUUUCCUCCUGGGCCAGAGUGGGAUUAGUCGGGCCCCGUAAGGAUUGACCCGGACAUUCACUCCGUUAGAAAAAAAAAAAAAAAAAAAAGGACGAACAUUUGACAUGAGGGCAGGCUUUAGGAACAGAUUCUCGCAAUCAGCAACAAUAAGCAAAUACAUUGGCUUCAAAGCGUACAAGCAAAUUCAAUCAAAUCCCAGAACAUUAAAGAGCUUCAAGCGAUGGCUUAAGAACCCUCCCUGCACUCUAAAUUCUUGCCCACCCUUCUUUCUGGAUGCACGUAACAUUGCUUGUCUUUGUUCUUACAUGCAUAUAGAGGUUGGGCAUUUAGUUGAAAGAAAACACUCUUGAAGCACCAACCGACCAAGGAGCCUUGCACACAGUCAUAUUCUGUAGUACAAACUUGAAUAUUAAAAUACUCUGUUGCACAUUAACUGAAAGUCAUGAAGCAAAAGAAGAUGGGUGUUGGAAUUUUGUUGAACCAAGACAGAAGCAGAUGUGAAAUUUUAAUCACUUUCUUAUAGUAAUAAAGUUCCUCUGGAGCAUCCAAAUGUGUUCAGAUCCCCGUGUUCCUCUACAAUAUCGUUACAUCGAAAGAAUAUGUUGUCAAAAUCAUAACAGAAUUCACCGGUUCUGAAGGGCCUCUAUUGCUUUCUUCCACUGAAGUGCUCUUUGUUUUGCAUCCUCAAAGGACAUGACUUUCUUCGGCUGCAUCAUCACAAAAUACGUAUUGGUUAGAAGCUCAGAAGCAAGCACAUUGGAAUAUGAUUGGACUUGAAAAUCUCAUUUUACAGGUAGACAUGCCCCCCAAGGGCAAACAUACCGUGCAAAUCUUAAAAAGUGAAGGGCUAGUAACUUGAAUGCUGAGAUCGUUGGGAUUGUCGGACCAUAUUAUAUUCCCCUUAACCACCAACUUUGCAGGGUCCACGUAGAUCAACUUUGGUUUGUUGGUGAGAAUAAGCUGUACUUUUUUGCUUGUUAGCUUCUGAAGUUUCUUAACCAUAGAAAUCAUAAGAACAGAUUCACCCGGCUCCAAAAACUGUUUCCUGGUAAGAGAUAAGAAUGCGAGAUUUUACUAAAUAUGACAGCAGAAAAGGAAGGAAAAAAUAGAAAAGAGGGACGGUGACGGUGACGGUUAAUGAUAUUGAUGCUCCCAUAAGAUGAGACUUGGUGGUAGGAGGAAACUGUCACUUGUAAUGAGCUGAGUGUUACAUAGUUGCGGUAACACAUCUGAAUAAAAUAAAGGAAAAAUCUAUUCUCUCCACCCCUAGCCGAUCAAAAUAUACACCCCCUCUAAAAUUAUUUUGAGUCUCCAACCAGACCAUAACAAUAGUCUAAUCUAUAGGCUAUACCGGGAUCAUAACGGUUGUGAUGCAAUUUCAAGGCAAAAUAUGCUUUGAUUUCUGUUAGAACCUAAAUGGUAGGAUCUUUAAGUUAGAGAAUAAAGAAGUUUGAAAAGGUGUCCUGAGCAUAUCAAUAUGGUCGAUAGAUAUUUAAAAAAAUAACAACUUUUUUUGGAUGCAUAUUUUCCUGAUCCUUUGAACAAAUUUCAAUUUUAAAACCAACAAAAGAACUACUCUGAUUGUCUUCUGACACUCCUUUUUACCAUAAGCUCAUUGACUUCUUCCCUCCCUCUCAGACACACCAACACAGGCACACGUGCAUUUACAUAUCCAAACAUAGUCAAUAUGCAUACUUACACACAUACAUAUACCAAUUGACUACCUAGGCACAUCACAGCUUUAGAUAGUCACAAUUUGCUCUCCCACUCCUUUCAAGUUGCAACUUUCUUUGUUUAUCAAAUUCUAGGUUCUAAACAUCAUGUCAAGCAAACAGGAAAAGUCUCAUAUAAAACGUAAGUUGUCUAGCACCACUGAAAUUAAAUGCCAAAAAAAAAAAAAAUCAACUGUUGGUGGAGCAAUAUCACACUCCUGUUAUCAAACUCACCAUUUGGAGUCAAAGGAAUCAAUUGAAGCAAGUCUAGUUAUGCUACCAGACUCAGAAGAUGAGGCAGCACCUCCAUUUCUAUCAUUUGUUUUUGCUGAACUAUCUCCAACAUGUGAUGGGUUCCAUGCAGAUUCAUGACCAUCAGGCCCACUAGAUGGAGCCUAAAAAAGAGAUAAGAUGGCAAUGAGAAUUAUUCAAUGAAAACAAAACAAUCAGUUGAGAGUCAUAGCAACACAUACUUUAAGCUCCGAUGCAAGUCUAGGAGGGGUUUGUGAUCUCAAAUUUGUCCAAUCAAUCCCCUCAAAGAAAGGAUGCUUCUUAAGGGAAGAAUAACCAUCAGGUCCAGCCCCUGGCCUCCUGCCAGGAUCAAUAUCCUGUAUUGUUCCAUUGACACGUAUGUUAGGUGCUUCACUGAUGAAAUAUCCAUCAAAACACAACGAUUUUAAUUUUCAAAGAUUUUAAGAUAUUUGAAAACAAACAAUAGAAGGGAGAUAAGGGAGUAGUGGAGGACAACUGUUGUAAGUGAACUACAAAAGCAAAAGAAUUGCUAAUGUUUACUGGUUUUGCUCUCAUACCUUUAAGCUACACCUGGUAAAACCCUAAAGAAAAACCAUAAUGAGCUAUUCCGCCAGCACUUUUCAACAACAUUCCUUUUUUACCUUGGCUCCAUGCUUCAAUUUUCAAAAGCCACCACUGCUAAUUAGUUUGGCAUCCAAAUAGCCUCUAAGGCCAGAUUAGUUUCUAUGAAAAGAAUAAGCCACACCUCUGAGUUCUGACAAAAUAUACCAAUUUCAAAAUUGGUUCUGACCCUUAAGACAUAUAUGGUUCCUCAAGAAAAGACAUCCGAACUUGAAAAAGGAAAAGGAACAAUUUGCAAUUAAUUAUCCCAAAGUUACGCUAUAAUUUUACGAGAGAAUAUGACAAGAUUUGAGCCCUUGAUGUAAUUUGAAGGCAAAAUGGAGCUGUCAACUACACUUUGUCCAUAAAAAAAGCACGCAUAUGUUUGGAAAAUACAGGACUAUUCCAGCCUUUCCUUCUAUAUGACUUUUACAAAAUAAAAGAAAGGAUAGUGGGAAAACCAUGAUGAAUAUACCUUUGGAAAUUCAGCAAAACUGUUGCAACCACUUUUCUUUACUUCAAAUUAUGCAUGAAAUUAUGAAAAUGAUAGUGGAUAGGCAGCAUAGGUACAGGUAUAUGUGCCUUUAUACUUAAAAUGAAAAAUGAAAUAGAAGACAGAGUAAAAAAUACAGCUUAUAUUAUUUCACAAAGAUCAAGGGGUAAUUGGGUCUAUCCGGAACUAGAUGAAAAUGCAAAUAACUGAGCUUACCAGCAGUCGAUCUAUAAUAUCUCUGGCUUCUGCAGAGAAAUAGUUUGGAAAUCGGAUAUCCCUAGCAAUUAUUCUCUGGAAAAUGAGCCAUUCACUUGCAUCUUUAAAAGGAGAAGUUCCUGAAAGCAUUUGGAAUAACGUGCAGCCAAGUGCCCAAAGGUCAUUUCUGGUUCAGUAUAACCAAAUGGGUCAAAUAAAAAAAGUUAGGCAGCCAGAGAGAUAGAAUGAUAAUAAGUAGUACUAAGUAAACAUAGAGGAACCAAUUCUUGCCAUAUUUUCAAAUUUGUAGUCCACUACUUAACAAGCUGACAUUACAUGAAAAUAUCUAUCUAAAUGGAAUGAAAGAAGGUUGUAGGCCUUCCAAGAGGUAACUACCUUACCCGAAAGUUGCAGGAGAUGAAUUUAAAACUUCUGGAGGGACAUAAGCAGCUGUUCCCACAAAAGUACAAGCUUUGUCAUCUGGAAUAAAAAUAAACAAAUCAAUUCAUUACAUUAAUCUGCAUACCAAUCAGUAAUCUCACCAUCAAUGAAUUUUCACUAAGAAAGAUGUUUUAGUUUUCCUGAAUGAAUAAUUACAGAAGGUUAGUUUACCCGAUGCUGCAUUUGGAAGAACUGUUAUUCGACUAUCUUGCAUAGGCUUUACACUCCCAAAAUCAGCAAUUUUAAUAUGCCCAUCUUCAGUAAGUAGCAGGUUCUCUGGCUGCCAUUAAAGAAAUUAUUAUCAUUUCCUAUAUUCCAAUGUAAGAGCAAUAUAUCAUGCAAAAUACCUUUAUAUCUCGAUGUAUCAGCCCCAUGCUAUGUAUAUAUUCAAGAGCAUCUACAACUUCAGCUGCAUAGAAGCGGGCCUCAUCUUCUGACAGACGACCCUUCUGCAACAAAAGAAACAAGAUAUAUUGGGGAAAAGCUGACCAGGCAGGCCAGAAAAGAUGCUCUUUAAAUACGACACUGUUCACAAUCCCAGCUCAACAGGGCACCCAACAGGUCUCAAGUUCAAGUCUCAGGCCCUCCCCCUGCCCCUUCCAGUUCCCCUUUGUGAGUUAUGGAGUCCCCAGUGUACCAAAUAAGCAAAAGAGAAAUAGGAGAACAAUCUUGCAAAUGAAAUUUCAGAUAAGAUUGUUCCACUAUAUCUACAAGGAUCAAAGCAAAUAAACCUUUAUGUCUGAAAAUGUUGAGGAAUGCUACAUAAGUGAAUCCAUGUAGCUCAAAAAUUUUGCUGCAUCAUAUAUUGUUUGGUGCCACAUGUUAAAGUUAAUUUUGUGCCUUAGAAUUUUGGAUCAAGUACACUUCCAUGUAGGAUUGACAUCAUAUUACUACUAUUAAAUGAAUAAUAAGCUAGAUUUUGACAUCCACUUACCCUGGUGAUUUGAUCAAAAAGUUCUCCACCUUCACAGGACUCAAGUGCCAUAUCUUCAAAUGUAAUAAAACAAGAAUAUACUUAUGUCAAAUUACUAAGCAAGCCAUGAAAAAGCUAUGGAAUUCAAAAUGGAAACGGUGGGGAAAAAAACACUAAGCCAACACUGUGAUUUUACAUGGUUGAAGGAAGCCAGCAAGAAGCAAGAACACUCACACAGAGAAUACGUGUCUUGAAAUGUGAAAAACAAUCGCACCACACCAGGAUGGUCUAACUGAUCAAGUACAAUGCGUUCCAAUUUUACAUAAGCAGUUUUAUUUUCCUUGGUGAUAAAUUUUUUGUCCAUGAUCUUCAAGGCAUAUAUAGUUCCCGAGUCUUUCUUCCUUGCUCUAACAACCUGUAGGCAUCAAGAAUUGGUUAGAAUUAAUUUCGCUUAAAUAUCAAAUUAUGAACUUCAAUCCCAUCAAAAGUAUGCAUUACACAAUAAUAAAUUACACUUAAAAUUGUAUAUACUCAACAACAAUCCAAAUAAUCUUUGUUUUUGGGAGACCUGAAAAGUGGAUCAGGGAAGGAGAUAAGCAAUUGCAACUUAUGAUCUUAGACAAAACAAACUCCCAUUUAUAACUAACUGAUACAAACCUAAUUGUAACAAGAAGAUGGAAUUUGAAAUGGCUUCUCUUGGCUUCUGAUAAUCAAAAAGCAAAACAUAAAAGCGCAACAAAAGGUAAGGAAAAUCAUUGAAGUGAAUGAGACAAAAACACAUGCUAUCACCAGAAAAAUAACAUUGCAAUAGGUUUAAAGUUUUGACACAUUGAAAUUUGUGUCCUACAUGUAAUUCUCUCCAUCUAAUUUCACUAUACACCAUGAAUUCCAGCGUACAAUCACUACUGUGAUUUCUGAGGAUGCAAAUCCUCAAAAACCCAUCCUACAGGUCUCUAAACCUCACAAUUUAUUUGCCUCUGCACAAUUAUCUUACGAAAUUACACCUACCUAUGUUUAAGCACAAAUUACUUCCCCAUUUAUUCACCAGCAUUAUCUUUUAUUCUUUAACCCCAAUGAACUCACUACCUAUAUGUAAUUGAAUCCAUAAAAAUAAAUAAAUUAAAAUAUACCAUGAAACUUGAACUUAGAAACUCUUCUUGCCAAGGCCUCAACAUCUAAAUUUUUGCCACGUUAAAAAAAUAAUAAUAAUAAGAACCUUAUUGGCAAGAAUAAAACUCCGCCAUAAAAUAACAUCAGAAAAUAGCCCCAGAUACAAAACAUCUGUCUAGUUGAAAAGUUACUUUUAUUCCAUUCAAACAAAAUUUAAAAAAAAAAUCCAGUAAAAUAUUGAUAACUAUUUUCAAUACCUAGAUCCUUUUCUUACACCAGUACUCUGCAUAUAGAUAUACAUUCUCAUGCAAAAAACCAGUACUCUGUUGAUUAUUCUUAAUUGACGAAAACAAAACACUUCUAUUUUCACGACAUGAGCGCAUUAGCUGAAGGUAAAGUGAUUUAGAAGCUCUGGACGGGGAUUUUCCUACACAUUUAGAUUGGGAUAUUUUGAGGGAAAUGGAAAGUUCUGAGGAACUGGAGUCUUUGGAAAUGGAGGAGGUAUGACCGUGCUUCUGUUAUGCAUUGCAAAUUUCUUUUUGCCCUGUUUUGUUUUUUCCCAGGUUGUUGGAAUUACUGUUGGGUAGAACAUUAUUGUAAUACUCGCAGAUUGAAGAAAGAAUGGAGAAAGCGAUUGGUGAUUGGGAUGAAUUAUAUCGUAAUGCUCGAAAAUCUGAAAAGCUUAAGUUUGAAAUGAAUGAAAGAGAUGAAGGAGAGCUGGAAAGGACUGGGCAACCUUUGUGCAUCUAUGAGAUUUACCAUGGAGCUGGAGCUUGGCAAUUUCUACAUCAUGGUUCUUUGUACCGUGGGUUGAGUCUGUAAGUUUUUUUGAUCCAGGAACACUGGCUUAUAUUAAGUCAUCUGUUGCAACAUGAACUAAGAAGAAACUAUCUUUCUAGAGCAAGUUCAGUAAUCUAUUCUAUUACCUCGUCUGUGUUGCUGACACUUGUGUGUUUCUUCUAGUAGAAAUUGCUGGUUUUCUUACUUUGAAUAAUUGUUAUCCUCUUUUUCUAGGCUGUGUUUUGCAUGUAAGUUUUGUAGUUUGUCAGUGCUAAUACUGGUAAAUCUCCCCAGUCUACUCGGGCCAGAAGAUUGAGGUCAGAUGAUGUUGAUGCAGUUGCUCGGCUUCCUGUCCUGAAUGACACAUAUUACCGAGACGUACUUUGUGAGAUUGGAGGCAUGUUUUCAGUUGCGAAUGGUGUUGAUAAUAUCCAUAAGCGACCUUGGAUCGGUUUUCAGUCUUGGCGUGCUGCUGGGAGGAAGGUGUGCCCUAAUUUUUCAUGUAUUUCAGAGGAAUUGUCUUUCUGGCUAACCUUGCUUCUUUUUUAUUCUAGAUAAUGAAAUAUCAUAUAUUAAAAUUGAGGUUCUAAUGCCUGUAAUGGGAUUGCAAGAUAGUGUUGUCAAAAUAGUUUUCCUUUACCAUUAAUUGUUAUUUUUGUAAUCAAGCAAAAGAAUAUUUUUCAUCUGAAUGUCUUCUGGCCUACAAUAUAUGACAGGCUAGUCUCUCUACAAAAGCUGAGCAGGUUCUGGAAGAAGUAGUACAAAGAAAUACUAAAGGAGAUGUGAUAUACUUUUGGGCGAUGUUGGACAUGGAUGGUGGAUUUAUGGGAGGAAUGACGUGCUUACUUUUUGGUCCAUGUGUGACAUCUUAAAUGGAGGAAACUGCAGGUUAGAGUGUUUUGGGAGACACAUGACCUACGCUGUUUUUAUAGCUUUUCUUAGUUUUACAUAUCAUUUAAAGACUACAGGCAUCUAAAUUUUUCUCCCCUUUUAAAGAUGCUAAAUUACAUAGAAUAUGAGAGAAUCUUCUCUCUUCAAAUUUGCAUUUUUUUUUACUUAUUAAGCUAGUGUUUGAAGAUUGUGUUGCUAAAUUUUUUUCAUUUGAAUAAUUCAAAUUUGCAGAAGUGCCUUUGAAGAUGCAUUCCGUAUAAUGUAUGCCCUACCGUCACAUGUAGAAGCCCUUCCACCCAUGCCUGAAGAUGGAGGGCGCUGGUCAGCCCUACAUAGCUGGGUCAUGCCAACCUCUUCUUUUCUGGAGUUCAUUAUGUUUUCCAGGUAAUUUCCCUGGAGUAACACAUUGCUUAACUUUUUGGCAAUUUAAUAUCAUGAUUAAGAUGCCACGGCUGAGGUCGUUGGUUGCUUUACCUUCAUUUUGUCAUCUGACUGAAAAUUCCUUUGCAUAUUAGGAUUUUUGUGGAUUCUCUCGAUUAUUUGCAUGUAAAUUCAAGCAACAUGACUUCUUGUUUGUUGGGUCUUCAGUGUUGGAGGUAAGUAUAGACCAAAAGUUAUCUGUAAUCAAGAAAAUGACAAAAUGAAAGUUUCUUAUGCUGAAAUUGUGACACUUCUACCAGAAGCAGCAUUGUUACUGUCGGGUGAUGGAACUUCUGGUCAACGUAUGGGCAUAUCAUAGUGCACGUAGGAUGGUUUACAUUGAUCCCCACUCAGGUUUGCUGGAGGAACAACAUCCAAUAGAACAACGGAAAGGAUUUAUGUGGGCGAAGUACUUGAACACCUCAUUAUUGAAAAGUAUGGAUGAAGACCUUGCUGAAGCAGCAGAUGACAAUGACCAUCCAUAUGAAAUGUGGUUAUGGCCGUUAACAGGGGAAGUUUACUGGCAAGGUGUAUAUGAGCGUGAGAGGGAAGAAAGAUAUAGGUUGAAGAUGGACAAGAAGAGAAAAACAAGAGAGAAACUACUCGACAGGAUGAAACACGGAUAUGUGCAGAAGGCACUUGGAAGAUUGAAGCUGUAGAUCUCAGCAGGAAGAGUUGAAAGUUUUGUUGGAAUUUCCUAUUCCUAUUGUCGUCGAGGAGGCGAGGUGAUAAUUUUUCUAAGCUUGAGCAUUCGGGGUGCCUCAAUGCUGAUAAUGGAGUAAAGUGAUUGUUCCUUAACAGCAUCAAAGGUAGUUGGAACUGACUUGUUCUUCUGACGUUACUGAAUACAUUAAACGGGGGUCGCAGGUGCCAAGAUACACUUGAAAAAAAGCAAGCUAAGCUAGAAUGACAUACCAACAAUUUUGUAGCCAACAUAGCUAGCACACAGGUAUAAAUUGCACGGCCUUCAACACUACUCCAGAUCUAACUGAUUUUGGCUGGAAUUCUUUAGACAUACAAUCGUAUUCUUUUCACAUGUACAUAUCCUUUGAAAUAACGAUCCAAUUCUUCUGAAAAGCCCCUUUUUGGCUCUCUGACUUGUAACUACUAAAACCAGGACACCCUCGACUAGAGGUUUACAAUUUUGACUGACUUAUGGGCUGCUAUUGUUUGAGGGGCAGAUUUCGUGCUCGUAGUAUUUAUAGGAAAAUGGGUUUACAAAGGCACUAUUCUUCCAAAUUUGUAACUGCUUGCAACCCACUAUUGGUGCGAUGUUCUUUCAUACAAUUUGACAGGAUUAUGGUACCUUAUGUGCACAGUUAACUUAUGACAAUAUCAAGGGAUACUCUGUUCCUAUUUCCUAGUACUUUGAUGAUUUUCAAGGCGAAACCAAAAGGCAAACCCAAUAACAUUUUAACGAGCACAUUCUAAAAGCCUUAAAUGCAAAUAGGAUUGGAACACCAAGCUCUGGUUUUUUAGCGGUGUCAAAUUUGUCACAUUUUAUUUGCCCAAUUUCCCCUGUUUCAAAUGGGUUUGGGCCACCCAGAUUCAUUGUCAGGCUGAUCCGUGUAACUCAUUUUCGGACACAUAGCUCUAUUUCCACUCGUCCCUUUUUGCCAAAUUUGCUUGAAAUUUUCAGCGUUUUUUUCUCACAGAAAGUGUGACGCUUGCAAUUUCAAUUGCGCACUUCUAAUUUCAAUGCCUGAUUUGGGGAAAUUCUGGAGCAAUGUCAGUAGAGUGCCCGGUUUCACUGACUGCUUGAUCGGAAACUUCUCUUAAGAACUAAUCAAUGUCCAUUAGAUCGGUCUCACUUGACCACUACAAGCAAGGAAAAACCGAAGGAGACUAUUUAUCAUUUAAAAAAGAUGUAGCAAAUUUUAUUCUCCUAAGAUAGGCUUAAGAGACACGGAGUUGAAAGUGCACGACGAUUAAUGGUCCAUAAAUUUUCAAUUGAACCAUUAAUAUAAUAGAGUAUGUUUGGAUAUAAUAUUAUUAUUUGGGAUAAUUUUUUGAAUAAAUAUUAUAACACCUUUUUUUAACGUGAUGUAUGUAAAAUAAAAUUUUUAUAAAAUAUGUUUAACAAAUAAAUAUUACAAAUAAUAAACUGUCCAAACAAACAUAAGAUAAAAAAAAAAAAAAUUGAGUAGCAGCAAGAAGAUCCUGAUUGAUGUUUGAACACAUUGCACUAUACGAACUGAUUGAGUAAUCAGUUCACUAACCAAAACCUGCAAGCAAAAGAUUUAGAAAACAUCCAAAAUCAAACACAUAGAGACAAAAAAAAAAAAAUGGGAAGAAGAAGGAUUCGACCAGGAUAAUAUAUAGUCAUUUCAACAUUCGACGGACAUUUUUUUUUCCUUUCCUUUCGUUUUAUUUUUGUCUUUUCCUCGGUGACUCUUGAAAUAUUAAUUUAAUGUAUAGUAAUAAUUUAAAAAUAAUCCCCCCAUGCCAGCCAGUACUAAAAUCCUGCCCUCCCUCAUCGUACGCCUAAUUGGGAAUGUUGGGCUGAGCAGCAAAAACCGUGUAGGGUUUUCGGCUCCCACUCCAAACCCCUACUGUUCCCUGUUCACACCUGAAGACUCAUCUUACGCAUCUGCUUCUUCUUUCAGGUGACACCCAUUUCUUGCAUUUCUAGUUAUCAAAUCACUGACUUCUUUAUGGACUUUAGCUUAUCUUACUUUUUUUUAUCGGUUUUUUGUUGACAAAAUGAACUGGCCGUUCAUUCUCUGCUGUUUCCCAUUUUGGUUUUCUUUUGAGGAGCAACACUGUAUGCUGAAGUUCUUGUAAUUUUUUUCUGAAUCAUUUGUUGUUUUCGUUUCAAAUUGGGAUGGGCUUGCAAAGUUGAUGUCCCACUGCAUUUCUUGGUUGCUGGAAUGUGGAGGAAUUAGUAACCCAAGUUAUUUUCUUCUCUUUUUUCUAUUUAGACAUGAAUGCUGGAAUGCUAGUGGAAAAUUUUCAAUUCAGCUAAUUUUUUUGGUUGGGCAUUAUGUGGGCCAGCCAAUUUUUUUUUUUUUUUUGGGGUUACAAAAAAUUUGUCUAGUCUAUAUGCUUAAUUGUUUUUUCCUUUUGUGUUGGGGUUUGAGCAGAAUGCUGGCAGAAAUAUGAUUAGUUUUGUGUCAAAUCAGUUGACAUUCUUCGAAAGAACCAAAGAGACGCUCCCUUAGAAUACUAAUGAAUCUUAUUCUCUCUUAAUGUAUAUGCAUAUAAGGAGGCCGGUCUUUUGUUAUCUUACAGAGAAAUAGAGUCUGGAAAGUGAUGAGAUAAACUCUGCAGUUCAUAGGUCUUUGAAUGUGUGACAUGACAUAUACAUGCGGCUAAGAAACCUAUCUUUUAUGUUGCUUGUUUACCCCACGAAAGGCAUCAACUGAAAAUUAUUCUAAUCACCUGAAAUUCAUAUCUGUGGUUGAUGUGUAGACAUGCGUUGUACAGUCACUGACUUGCAACGAUCCUAAACUAUCGAAGAAGUAAGCAGUAGCACCCUGUUUUUGUAUUGCCUUUUUUUAUGUUCUUGGAGCUUAUAACCAAAAUUUCACAUAACCAAAAUUUUCAGAUGAUGCAUGCAAUCAAAGGUGGAUGGGUUGGGCAAACAUUUGCCCUUGCUGCAUAUAGUGACUCUGGAGGGAGGAAGGCAAGGAUUAGGCGUUCAAAGGAGGAGAGGAAGGCAAUGGUUGAGUCUUUUAUAAAGAAGUAACCUUUUCAAACUUGCUCUUUUUAUGAAGAGAAUUUGUAUAUUAUUUACAUUACAAUGGUGAUCUAUUUUGUGCAUGUGUCUGUGUAUUUCUUUUUUAAUCAUCACUAUUAAAUGUUCACUUUUUGCAUAAGGAUGAUUGUGUUAGCAUGUAAACUUUUGUCAUCUGGUCCUUGAGAGUAAUAUAGAUUGUGCUUUUCCCAAAAUGAGAAAUCUCUUUGUUUGUUGUUUAGGACUAGAAUUCAUCUAUUUUAGUUUCCUUGACCAUCCACAUAAAUAGGAAGAAGAACUUAUUUCAUUUAGUUUCUUAAAUUGUUCCUUUUUUACUAAAUAUACUCGCUGACGUCUUCACAUUUCUUGGGUCAAUUUCUUACAGAUAUCAGAACUCAAAUAAUGGAAAUUUUCCAUCUUUGAAUCUUACACACAAGGAAGUUGGUGGUUCUUUUUACACAGUUCGGGAAAUUGUUCGAGAAAUUAUUCAAGAAAACAAAGUAUUAGGUCCAGCUAAGUUUUCAGAAGAGCAGAGCUACGAUAAUGUUUUGGAGCAUUAUCCAUUAGGAUCCAUUUCCAUUGAAGCUCAAAGAAGUUCAUUACCAUCAGAUGAACUGAAAAGUGUAUCCAUAUUUCAUCCAAACAAAGACAGGGUACCGGUGAAGAACUUGUUGCAAAUUCUAAUGGACUAUUCUUUGGGUAUGAGCAUCAAAAUCUAGAUAGUGAUCAAGUAGUUAAUGGUGUAAUUGAGACAAUUAAAGAUGACGUGGGAUCAGAUGGACCAAAAAACGUAGCUCAUACUUCAUCCAAACAAAGUCUGGAUAGUGGUGAAGAAGUUGUUGCAAACUCUAGUGGACAAUCCUUUGUGUCUGAGCAUCAGAAACUACACAAUGAUCAAGUAGUUAAUGGUGCAGUUGAGACAAUUAAAGAUGAUUUGGGAUCUGAUGAAUGCAGUUUAAUUGAAGCUGCAAUCCUACUCAUGAAGGCACAAGUGAUGAAAUCCUUGAAAAUUUGAGUGGGCAGUUGACAGGACCUGAUUGUCAGGAGUUUGACAGCAAACCAAUUGGAUGUUAGUGAGCCAACUGACGAGGAUGAAGAAUCUAAUGAACCAGUUAUACGUAGUCCUGUGUCUAUACCUAAUCCCAGAGUUAUUCAAGAAGAUCACCAGGAAAGUAGGGGAGAACAAGUUGUACAUUCUACAUAGAGAUUUUCCUGGAGAUGGCCAUCUGAAAGCAGACACGGAAGAAGAUGUCAAUGGGAUUAGUCAGGCAAUUGGAGAAACUGAAUAUGAACAACCAGUAUUGGCAGUGGCUGUAGGAGAAGAUAGCCUGGAUGUCAACAAAGGUGGUACUAAAACAGUUGAGUCAUCAAAUGUUGGUAUGACUCGUGGGCAAGCUGACAUAGUUGUCGAAAAAUUUCCACUUCAUCCCAUUGCUAGGAAAUUUGAUGACUUGGAAGGAAGAUUAGAAGAACAAAGUCAAGGAACUAGAACUCUGGAGGUAAACAAAAUUGAACAGGACAGCGUACAAGUUACAGAGCACUCUUGUAGUGCUGUGCAGGUGGAAGCUGGUGCAGACCUUGCUGUUUCAAAAAGCAAGAGUGAGCUGGUGGGUAAAACUGCCAGCCUAAAUGAUGGGAAUCCACCAUUGGAAAUGUCAAAUUGCUCUGCAACCAAAAAAGUUCCUGUAUUUGACAUGAGCAAUGCUGCAGAAAUCGGAGCAAAGGUCUCUUCCCCCACUGAAGCAAAGGUAUUUUACUUAUGAUGUAUUUAAUAUAUCUUUUGCACAUGGCUUGGGAUGUAUGUCUUUGCAUCCCUAACUUUGUGCUUAUUAAAGGGCUUAAAUCUUGUAGCUGUGAAUAAGAUGUAGAGGGACUUUGGGCUAUGUGACAUCUAUGUGCCAAUGAAAGUGGUUAUUUCCUGUUCCUAGUCCUGAUUGGUUGAAUUCAUUGGGAGGCCUUGUAAUGGAAGUAUAUAUACGGUCAUGUUUGAAAAUCAGAUGAGUGGAGAUGCAAGUGAAACUUACACUUUGGUACUGUAACACUACGAGGUUAAAAGUGUAAUGCACUCAGAUCCCGGAUGAACUCUUCUGAUUGCAUUACGGUGAACCUGGGUACUUAUGAUGAGUCUUGCAGCCUGGAGCUAUCUUGAUCUUGCAAUUUGGUAGAACCUCCAUUUGUGGUUGUCUUGUUAAUUAUUCUUCAGCUGUCGCAACGUGGAUAUUAAUGAACUUGUCAGUACUAGUUUAUUAAGUCUAAUGAAGGUAAUUUAAAAUUUGGUUGUAACUAAAAAUUUAUUAUGUUCUGAAGAUGAAAGGUCACAAUUUGGUGGGGUUUCAUUAAAGGUGCAGCAGGUAUGGUGGCCUAUACAUAGAAAAAUUGGAAGGUGGCUACUUGUGUUUGGCUAUCACAUACUGUAGCUGUUGCACAUUUUAUUCUUUUCCUAUUGGGUGGUGCUAAUUUCUCUGACGUUAUUUUACAGCCUGCGAAUGUUCCAACGGGUACCAAUGAGAAACAUGGUGACAUAAAUGCUGGUGUUUCUCAUGAACAGUCCAUUCCAGAUGAAACCAUUGGAAUAGAAGACAAACUAAAGAUCGAAGGUGAUAGCAGCUCCAAGGAGGGAAGCAAUCCUACAUUAAACAGAAUUAACCUGUAAGUAUCUUUUGUGGCAUCUCCUAGGCCUUUUUGCAUACAGUUCAAGAUGUCACUCUUUAUCAUUUCAGAGUGAUCAGUUUCAACAUUCCCCAGUCCCCGGACUGCCCCACCUAUGUACUGUUCAUUUAGCCUCACCCAAUUGAGUUUCCCCUUUGCAGUGAAACAUGGGAAAGGACAUCAGAGCUGCCCGCUGAAUCUGAAGUAAAUCCAGUUUUUGCAUUCUUCAAGGCGCUUGUUACUGCUUUUGUGAGAUUUUUGAAUGGAUGAGAGUUUACGGGGUGUUAUAAUGUAGCUUUUGAGAGUAUCUGCAGGGUGUUAAGCUUAGUGUUUGCAGCUUAUGGGACACUUUAAUUCCAUGAUAUUAUGAUAUCUGGUAACGUACUUAAUGUAUAUGGUGGUUGCUGCGGUCAAUUACAUGAUGCUUGUAUCCCUGAAACCUAGGUAGAAGAGGAGACCUUGCUAGAUGGAUGUCAUCAAGGAGCUGGUCCAUCAUUUCAGCUUCUUGAUGACCUCCCCUCAUCUGCACCAUUAAAGUUGGAUGGAACAAGUGUAAGCAUGGUCUGGAUAAAUCUACAUUUGCUUCUAAUAAAAAGUAAAAUAGCUUGAAGUAGUUGUAUGAUCUCCUUGUAUCCUAAGAAAUAUCGACAGCAUAAAUAAAUUGUCCAUCAAGUUGUGAUAAAUCCCAAUUUUCCAUGGGAGACACUGUUAGCAGAAAAGGACAUAGUACUGUUUAAUAAAGAGCAGCCCUACUCAUUCCACAACAGAAAAUGGUCAACAGAUGAGUGGUUGCUGUUUAUUAUAUUUAGAUUAGAAGAAAAAAGAAGAAGAAGAAAAAUCCCUUUCCAUCCCCAGCUCCACUGGAAAAGUGACGCAGCAGUAUUCCAGGAACAGAAUUCAGUCCACCACAUUUCAUACGAUCGCGGAUGGCUGAGAAGGUCUUGUUCUUAAUUCUUUCUUGUAGAUGCUUUCCAACUGUUAGCGCAAGACUAAAGCUUGACCAUUCUGGGAUCUUUUGCUUUAUAAUUACGUUGCUUGCAUCACAUGGAUGUGUUAGUCCACCUAAAAGCAAGGCAUUCCCAGUCUAGAAGGGAUUCAUUAUUACAUCUUCCUUUUUGCAAGGGUGAGAUUCUCGAGCGAGACUUUAACUGAGGUCUACUUUUCGUUUUCGUUCGCCAUCAAAGCAUCAUUGGGUUUGGUCCAUAGACUACUCAUUGAGGUUGUCAAUUAAGAGUCCAAACCGGGCAAUCGAUUCCAGCUCUGCUAACGUGAUUACAUUACUGCCAGGAAGUAAUUGAAACUUAGAAAAAGAGCCUUUUCCUUUUCCUCUGUUCAAUUGGAUGUAGUAUUAGCAUGUAUGAGGGGUCACUGCUUUUUUCUUUCUUUUGUUUUUGGUAGAGAAUAAGAAUAGAAGGGCUAAAACUAAGACCAGUCCAACUCCAAUACAUGAAGGGAUUAUAUGUGCAAUAAUUUGUUUGAUUAUUUAGGAACUUAGAAUUGAUGUCUGCAUGAAGCGUUUCAGCGUUUUGUUUGGCAUGGUGUCAUGAUUUUGCUGCCAAGUUGUAACAAAACGAACUUAUAGUUUUUAGACUUUAGUUUAGUACAAUGCUCACAUUGCUGGAAUACAGCCAAUCGGGAGCAAGCAAGAGAUGCCCACAUAUUGAUUAAGCUUCCCUGGCUUUUGCAACAGAAUCUCAAGUACUAAAUAUGUUUUGUUCCAUGCGUUAAAAAAAUCAAAGGUUCACAAAUGUACAUCUCUCUCUGCACACAUGUAUAAUGGCAGGAUUUCUCUGUUCAAAAAAAAAUAUAUAUAUAUAUAGUCAUUUCUAUAAGAACAUAAGAAACAACAAUAAUACUCUAUAUUUUGAUGUUUGUUUGAGGGUCGGUUUGUGAUUGGUUCUAAAGCUUGUGUGACAAAAGGCAAAGGAUAUUAAAAAGAAAGAGAGAAAGGUGUGAAGCAAUCUCGAAGCAAGGAAUAAAGUGGAAAAUAUAAACUAAGAAAAAAAAUCCAGUAAUCUGUAAUUCAUCAAGACUCAAGAGCAAGACUAAAUUAAAACCCCCAAAACCUCCGCAAACUAAAAAAAUAUAAGAACAACGGCAAAGCUAUCUUACUAUAUUAUUAAUUUUCUUCAAACUAUUGAAAUACUAGAAUUCAAUGCAUUGUACACAAAUAAAUUUAACAAAGCUAUAUAUAUAGUAGCAACAAUUUUUCUAGUAUUCCUAGUUGGAGUAUAUGGUAGGAUUGGCAGACUCCUUGCGGCUUCUAUGACUAAAAACAAAUUCUUGAAAUGAUAUAAAAAAAAAACAAAAUUCGAGGAAGAUUCAAAAAGUUGCACAGGAUCAUUAUUGCAUGGGAUGGCAACAUGCAAUGAUAGGGGGGUGGCAUGGAAUUCCCCCAAGCAAUUAUUAGUUAUUAAGAACACUUCACACAUAAGGCCAAUAUCCCUUAAGCAGGGGUAAGGGGGACAAGGAGGGUGUCCAAAAACACGUAAUAAUGAUCCCUCUUCAUUCCUAUCUAAUCAGCAUGCAAUUGGAUAUGAAUCUCAGGUCAAAUGGCCUAAUAAUACAAAUCAGAUGACGGUGUCAAGGAUUCGGAGAAAUGAAAUUGUUGCCCGUAUAUAGCGGUCAGAGAAAUUACGCCAUCAUUUUCUAGGAUUUUUUUUUUUUGGGGUAUCUUUGUACAAUGUAUCAAUAGACAAGGACGUCCUAAUUAUACGUAAUGAAGUUGGGGUAAUGCAUGGUGAAAACCAAGCAAAAUAGAUAGGCUGAGGGGACAGUUCACAUGGAAAGAUUCAUUCAUGAGGUGGAGAUCAUGGAGAGGGUAUUUGGUAAACCCAACCAAAACAUAUAGUAUUAUUCAAGGCUCAGUUUCUUUGUUCUUUUAUUUGCACAAUAAUAAUAAUGAGGGAGAGACAGAUAUGGCAGAUAGGGCGUAUUGAAGGCUCUACGAUGGAAUCCUAUGCUAGUUUAUAAAUUAGAGUGACAGAGACAGAAAUGGGUACAAAAAUUGCCAACGAAGGUCUUAGGCUAAAUGCAUUGUACUACAAUUAAUUAUAGCUGACUGCGAGCCAAGCUGGUCGUGAGUAGUUCGGUCAAUUGCUCGGCUCGAAUUCGGGUUGACCAAGUUUGAGUCCGAACUUGAACUAUUCGAUUGGAAAGCAAAUCGAAUUUUGAGCCCAGAUAUAUGCUACUCAAGCUCGACGAGCUACUUGUCGAGUACUUUUUAAUUUAAACAUUAUAUUUUUUUUUUAAAUACAAAAUUAUCACUAAGGGUUUAUGCUUUCAGAUGAUUUACAAGCUGAUUUGCAUACCUAAUAAAACUCUUGAAUGGCAAAAAAGUAAUAGAAUUUGAAGUAGACACAAUAUAAUUUCAUUCGCCAAGUUUUGAACUUAAAGGCUCAAAAAUGAGGUCUGAUUGAGUUUCUAUACUUGAAAGCAUCAUUGAGUACUCAAACUUGAUAUGCUCGAUCCUGAUUCAAGCCAUAUCGAGUCGAGUUUGAGUUUUAUACCGUUUUAGUAAGUGGAGUUCAAUUCUCUAUUCUCGAACUUAUCAAGUUCGAACUCGAGUCGAGCAGGGCAUCAAUAGUGUUUGAGUUGAGUUCGGGUAUAGAACUACUCAAGUUUGACUCAACUUGUAUACACCUGUAACUACAAAUUUUCGCUUGAAAAUUUGACCAGUAGAGAUCAAAAUGAAAUAUUAAAAAAUACUAAGCACUUGUGGCAAUUUGCAUCAUGUGAGACGAUUCCAAAUAUGCCCUCAUACUGAAAACGGAAUUGAUUUAAGAAAUAUGGAUCUUUAUGAACGGAAAAAAAAGAGUAAGUGUAUUUGGUGUUAUCCGUAGAUAAAGCGUUACUCAUAGGUCAAAAAAGACACCGACUCAAGUUUAUCAGCUUUUUUUUAGUUUUGCUUUUUUUUUUUUCUUUUUGGGGGAAAAUGUUUCUAGGUAGCAACAAGUGCCACAUUCUUGCCCCGUAGAGGAGAAGGAAUAGAAAGAAAUGGAAGUAAAAUAUCCAGGACUCUGGUAUAUAUAUAAUAUCUCAUGGUUGAAUUUUAGCUUUUCAUACAUCCAACAAACAUAUAUUAGCAUCUUACAGACACAACUAUUCAAUUUUGGGAUCAUCAGCGAACUUUUACAUAUACAAGACACCGACGAAGAUUCGUGCAAACAUGGAGAGGAAGAAAAAAUUUGGUCGAAUUCUUAGGAACAAACAAUAUCUCCUCAACAUCUUUAAUCUUGAAUAUCCUGCCAGAUAAUUUUUAAUGAGAUGCUUCUUAAGUUCACUGGGAAUAAGAAAAUCUAAUGGAAUUAUUUACUGCAGGCAGGCUUUCUUAGAGCGCAUGUAGUAGUGGUGGUGUCCAUGCAGGUUGCUCUCACCUUUUUGAGCAAUUCUUUGUCGGACAAACUCCAUAUUGCACCUUCGAAUUCGUAUGAUUUUUUCACUUUACAUUCUAAACUUCAAAUUUAAAUACUUUGCACAUUAAAUUCUUAAUUUUAAACACUUUACAUUCUAAUCAAUUAAGUUUGUUCUAUUUAAAUCUAGUCAGCGACAACUUCAGCAAAAUUAACGGCAUGUACGACUUAUCAAAUUAAUGAUAAUAUGCUGAAAGUUGUUAAAAGGUAGCAAGGUAUCAUAGCAAAAAUAAAACAGUAUAUUGGAAUUAAUUUGUACCAUCUUUUAUCUAAUUGAUUUUGCUAGAAAUAUUAGCGAUUGAAACUAUAUAAAUCAAUAAUAAUAUGCUAAAAUGGUCAAAAAAGCUAAGAGAUCGCACUGAAUGAUACAUUUUUAUUGAUUUUCACUACACCCCUUUACCUCAUACAUUUUGCAAGCAACAUAAUCAUUGGUUAUAUUUAAACACGACAAACUUGAGAGUUUAGGGUGCAAAGUGCCCAAAAUUAACGGUGUUUGGAUUGCAUUUUUCAUGAAAAAAUUACUGUAGUGAUUUGAUGUAUGUAAGAGAAAAAGGUAAUAGGAAAAUGUGAUCACGGAAAACAAUGUAAUUUUCCGACGGAAAACUGCAAUCCAAACAAGGCAAUUUGGAUUGCAAAGUGAAAAGGUGAUAUAAGUUUGGGAGCGUAAAGUGAAGUUAGUCCUUCUUUCUUAAUUAACUUAACGUAAGUUAUAAGCUUGGAUUCACAGGCCAAUUCCAAAAAAGUUGAAACCAUGAAUUUCAGAUCCAAGAUUGAUCAGCGUCCUUUCCUUCCUUGCACUGUCAAGUAUCCAAGUCCUGCGAUGUGCAAUGUACAAUGUGGGCUAUUUAAUUAAUGAGUUGCAGCUUGUCAUUUUCUAGUACUCAUCAUGCAAAUUGGUAAAUGUAUCUCACCCUCUUCACCGUUUACAACCCAAGUUUACCUUAAAAAAAGAAAGAAAGAAAAAAAGAAAAAUUGGUACUGCAAUGGAGAACAUUAAUAUUAUCUAGGCAGCAUAGAAACAAACUUGUCCCAGUAGCACUUUUAAGCAAUUAAAUUCCUUCUACUUUCAUGAGCCUCUAGUACAGUACUACAGUUACAGGACAUGUCAAUAUAAAAACUGAUCAAAAUAGUAGUGACGAUCCAGAUGACAAAAAUCUCACAGGUAAAUGCCUCUAACAUGCAUUCACAAUCUUGACUGCAGAACCGCAGGAGCAUCUCCUCUUCAUCCUUUUUGUACUUCUUAAAAACUAAAAUAAAACGAAAAAAAGAAAAUAAUAGAGAGAUUUGGAGGAGGAAAAAAUAAAAAUUGCCAAUGAAGAAAAGAUGAAAAAGGUUUGUGAGUAAAGGUGGGGAAGACAGGUAGUUACAUCUGGAGCCAAGUGACGACAGCCUGAGAUGGACAUGUUAGAAAAGUUGUUCUACUACUGUAGUCUGUGCUGCCACCAAUCUAUCUAUCUUAAUCUGCUGGUUUGUGUGAGAAUAAAGAAUGCCCCUACGACCUUUUCUCUACUCAAUUACCUUCCAAUGCACGCCUCUCUUCCAAACUCUUCUUUUUCAACCCGUAUAUAUAUGUAUGUAUGUGUAUAUAUUCCCUGCCCAUUCCUACACUUGUAUCUCUUACAAUUUCCUGUUUACAGGUUCCUCCUUAUCAGCUUUCCCUCCAGUUCCUCGACCAACCCUCCACCCACCAGAAAAAACCGAAAGAACGGACAAAAAACCCAUGUCUACGGAUCUAGAAUUACGCCAAGAAUUGGUGGAAAUCCGAUUACCAGCUCUAAACAUCAAGGUUUCACAGUCUUCAGAUAGUACGGAUGAUGGCGGUGCUGUAAUUCAGUCACAAGAAAGCACCACCGGCACGGGCAGCUGCAUCAUUGAAGAAGAAGAGUGCCAUACUCCAAAAUCGCCUCAGCAUAUGAUCCCAGAAAUUCUUAGCUGCCCACCUGCCCCAAAGAAGCCUACGAGGCCUGCUUCCUCCUCAUGCAAGAGAAAAUUAUCUGAAUUUUUCGAGUUUGUGGGACGGGAAGAGAUUGAGUCUUUUUUCAGGCAGCUCGACGUGCCGAAUUCUACAACCGGUGUCAUCAAAAAGAGGUGUCUUGUAUAAAAUUUAUUCCACAUUCAGAAAUUUUCUAAGGCCGCCCCAUUUUCUUACAUUGCUUUGCAAAUUGGAAUCAAUUGACAAAGCCACAGCAAAGUGAAUUACGAUCAAUUGUGUAUGUAUUACACCUUUUUAUAUGUUAAAGAAAAUGUAUUAUUUGAUUCACAAUUCUUGUUAUUACCACAACUAUUAUUAUCUUCUUUUCAUUUCUUUUUGUGUAAGUUGGAUCUGAACUGAAGGCUGACAUGAUUGAGAAUUUACUCAAAUUAAUUUGAGUAAUUAACUUGCACUAUCUUCUCUCUCUCUCUCUCUCUCUCUUCUUUUUUUGUUUAUUGAAAUUUGGUUGGGAAGGUUGGUUCACUUGGUUUUAAACAUGGAUGACGAUAGUUAAUUAAGGCUGCUAAAACAUAGAUUAGUGAUGAGUUUUGUGAGGGAGAUGAGUGGUUGGUUGGUUGGUUUUGUCCGAAGGAAGGAAGAUGUGAAUAAUAGAUGGAAUCAAUCCACCAAAUAAUCAAUGAAUGAAAUACAGCUACGACUAAUUCAGUUGGUGCAAGUUUUUUCUUGAGAAAGAUUUGAAUUAGGUUUGAUGAUGCAGCAUGAUCGUGUUUGACGUUAUGGUUGAGUGACAGACACGGUUUUGGGAUUGACAUCCUUUGAUUAUCUUUUUUUUUAGCGUUCCUCAUCUCUGUCUUGCCAAUCCAGAAAGAGAUAGAGAAUUGACAGGUAUUUGUCCUUUUUUUGUUUUUGUCCUUAUUAAUGCAAACAAAAUUCGGCACUGUAAUAUGUUGUACAUAUAGCGUAUUCCAUGCUUCAGCCUGCUUUGGAUUGCCAUUUUGAGAGCAAAAUUUUUACAUUUUUUGUGAAUAUGUUUUCUCCCUCACACACAUCACAUCCUUAAAAAAAAAAGUUACAAGAAUUUUUUCCAAAAAACUUUCGAGGACUAAAACUUGUCGUUCCACGCCCCCUCCUUCUUUUGUCGUUAUUCGUUGAGCAAUUUGUUUUUUUUUUUCAAGUGUAAACGGGUAGAUUCGGGGUUUAAAGGCGAAAUCUCUCAUUUACACUCCCUUCUCCCUUACCAUCCAAUCCAUCCCUUCCCCCGUUAAGUAAUUUGCUAAAACAACAUACAAAUACACAUACAUGAUCGCUUGCUUUUGUGUCCAAGAAAAACAUAUACCACUAGUUAUUUUUUUGGAGGUUUUAUAGAAAAAUAUACGGUUAUAAUUUGAUGUAUAUAAAAUAGAAAGGUAAUUAAAAAAUAUAUUUGUAAAAAAAAAAAUUUUUUUGGGAGAGAAAGGGCAAUCCAAGCUCAGCAAUGAAACUGGUACAACAAGAAUAAAAAAAAAACAGAGAGAGAGAGAGAGAGAGAGAGAGAGAGAAUAAUAGUGCUAGGAUGGGUUGAAUAAGUGCGAUAACUGGCUUUAAUUACGCCACAUAGGAAGUGUGCGAGUUCACAUGCCGGCCUACAACUUUUGUUGGUAUUUCAAUUAUUUUUAAUGUAGGGCUGGCAGUCUUCGUUAACAAACUUGGAAUUCAUUUAUAAAAGGACGAAAAAAAAGUUGGGGAAAAAGAUAGUCUUACAUGACCACGUAUUCACUUGACUUCUACAUUUUUAACGUGUGCAUUUUGAAUUUCAGAAGUGUUUCCACGGAAUCGAACGGAUUUUGAAGGCUAUUCUUUGAAAGAGCAAUCUUAUAGUUAGCAGUUGAAUUUGGACAUAAUUUGUUAAGCAGAUUGAUAACCAUACACCUGGCCAUUUGAAUUUGAUUCAGACUCCAUCCAUACAAUAAGAGAGAAAAAAAAAUGCCGAACCUGACGUGACUAUUCUUCUAAGUUGCUGUGGUUGCAUCAGCAUUCAACAUUCAGAUUAUAACGAUGGUCCCUACUCUCAGGUGCUACUCAUUAACACAUUUAAAAUUCAUUUAACUUAUAAUUUAUAUAUGCAUACUGAUAAUUAUUACCUUUUCUUAUAUUUAUAUACUUUUUUUAUUUAAUCUUAUCCACCCUCUUUUAUAUUUACUUACUUUUUCUAGUCAAUCUUACGCUUCUAAAAAUAUACGACACUUUAAAUAUAUUUUAACGAGUACUCAAUAGGUAUCCAUUAGAUAGGCACUUUAAUUAUCUUACCUUUUAAUUUGGCACCUUUUAUAAGAGAAAUGACCUAGAGUUAAAAAGGACCCGAUUAACAAUUCGAUUGUAUUUUUUUUAUUAUUAUCUUUCAUCCCUUUCCCAUCCUUAACUGUGAGGAUUCAAAUCCUAAACAUGACAGUGAGGAGAGUUCUUCCCUGAUCACUGGCUAACCCCUGUGAUUUAAUAAUUUGAAUGUACUAUAAGAUUACUGUGUGUUAGAAGGUGAAAAUAAGUAACUAGGCGUGUGCAAAAUAAAAAAAUUUCGAUUUACAGACCGAAUUUGAAUUCGGUAAUUCGGAAUGAAAAUCGGAAUUUCGAUUUCAAAUUGGUCGAAUUCGGUAACGAAAUUUUUCAAAUCGGAAAUUCCGAUUUCUAAUUCAUAAUUCGAAAUCGAAAUCGAAAUUCGGAAUUUCUAUUUCGAUUUCAAAUAUGUUUUUCAUAUAUAUAUAUAUAAUAUAUAAUAUAAUAUUUAUUUUAUAUUCAUGAAUUCGGUGAGAUCGGAAUUUACCGAAUUCCGAAUUGUAUUUUGCAAGAUUAUAGCGCAGUACUUCAAAGAGUAUUUUGCAUGCAACGUGACGAUAUCCCCUGACAGAUAGGACAGUGAAUAAUAAUAAUAAUAAUUCUGGGCCAUAUGUCUCUACUGCUCGAUAUCCCCCCGCGAGAUACUAACACCGGAUCCAGAAUAUUAAAUCACAUAGAACAAAACGGAGCAAAGUAAAAACUAGAAUUCAUUUUCUGUACUCCGUUGUAGGAAUAUCUUAACCCUCAGUCACUUGUUUCGCUUUAAAUUUUUCCCUCUUCCUUGAUCAGCUUUGACAUACUCUGUAUUUGUAUUUAACCAAAUUCAAACUGACAAAAGGCUGUAUGCGGACAAUGUCGUAUUAAUCACGCCACUUUUGAUGGAUACGUAUAUAUAUAUAUAUAUAUAUAUAAUUAAUUAAAGCUUUGAGUAAGCUUCAAUCUUACGUGUCCUUUCCUGCGGAUAUUAGCAAGAAGAAAAAGUUAGAUUACCUACAAUUAAAGACAUGAUUUAGACAGAUUACGUAUUUGAGUCAGGACCAGAUCAGAAGCACAAAAGUAAAGAAGAAGCCGGCAGGCGCUUUUAUGGUCGAGCUUAAACCAUAAGUUACUUUUCCGUCUCUUGAUUUUGACGGAAUAAUUAAAGAGGCAGCAGCAGCAGCAGCCCACCCCCAGCGCCAACUCGCAGACAGAGAGCCAGAGAGGUAUAAAGAUGGUGAAAUUAAUAUCCAUAAAUUGAUGAAUUAAUUAUAUAGUUCAUGGAUACAACAUUCACGUGGUCAGGAAUAUUAGAGUUCAUUAAAGGGGACACAUGCAUAUGUGUACAAAGUGAUAACGGCGGCAGAAAUUCUUGAAAAUCAUUUAUUCCCCUGUAUGUGUGCUGUAUAUUCAGCUUGAUUAUAAAACUUUUUUAGUGUUACAGUUUGCAUCCUCAGAAUACCAUGCAUCACAAUUAUACGUCAAUAUAUAUAUAUAUAUAUAUAUAUAUAUAUAUAUAUAUAUGAAUAUCUUAUUUAGCUGAGCAACACAAUAUAAUUGACAUCAAAAGCUAUUUUGAAGAGCAGCGCGUCGGUUGCAGAUGAAACGUCUUACUGACUAGUAUUAUGUGUUCGCUGUUAGAUAGUAUUCAUUCAGUAUAAUUUUUUCUUAUAUGGGACGUAAAGAGGACGCAUUGCUAGUUGGAGCCUUCUAGCUCUGGCGUCAACCACAUCCUCAAAACCCACCAAACGUUAGGUGUAUGUUUGGUAGGUUUAAACAAAGUUAUAACGAUGGUUUUGAUCUGAUUCCAUCUGAUUGAUCAAUCAUGUGAAACUAAUUUUUCAUUUUUAUUGCUAGUCGGCGGCCAUGUGACCGAGAAAUUCAUGAUCUUGUCGAACAAUAUUAGCAAAUUACUGAAAUAGGAGUUUUAGCUAGGAUCCAAGAACAUCUGUAAAGUUGCUAAAGCAAGUGUAAAGAAUCCACCACAUUGAUCUAAACUAAAGCAAAUGCAAAUCAGGUUAUAUAUAUAUGUAUAUAUAUGGACAACAAACAUAAAAAGAAAACCCCAGGAUGUGUAUAAAAUUUACCGAGUACAUAUUUACUGCUAAUUACCCAACUAGAAAACUAUUCAAAAUCCUCUUCCAAAGCAACAAAAAGAAAUGCAAAACUACGGGACAUAUUUCAAUUAUAGAAGUCCAAAAGUUGCCCCUCUAUCUUUGCAAGUGUAAAAAUCGCCUCAUCAAGAUGAAAUCCUACCGCAAGCGACACAAAUUAAGCAUUGGAUAAAACACAGAUUAACCGUCUAUCACAGGAAGUAUUUCCUCCUUGUGGGCCGAAAGGGAAAAAAACAAUUGCAGACAUGGAACUGGAAAAAGUGAAAGCUAAGAUCUGAUAAAAGUGAAGAAAAAGUGGAGUUAAAACCCUGGAUUUUGUAGUUAAAUACUAUCAUAACUGAUCCCUUUUGUCUACUGAGGUAAGACAAGUGUGUUCCCCAUAAAAGUGUCUCCUUGCACUACCAAGAAUGUUCAAUACAAGUACCAAUCACCGGUGGAAAUGAGAAUCUCUCAUUUUUGCCAGAAUACGAGGUGUGGAAGUUUCUUGGUGUUUAAUACUUGGAAUUUGGGACUACGGCAUUCUACGGGAUUUGUGAUGCUGGACUUGGGAACCACAACAUUAAGAGUUCUUAAUACAGAUUAUGAAUUAAAAAUUGCCAUUUGAAGGUCAUGCAAUUACUUAAUGCAGUCAUGGGUCUACACUUUUUCUCCACAACUACAUUACAAGUUUGUCUAUUUGAUAUCAAUAAUACAUAGCACUGGCUGAUUUAAUACAUGUUGCCUGUUGGAUAUUUUAAUAAAAAAAUAUCACAUAUUUAUUUUGAAUUCAAAUAAAAUAAAUUACAAAUUCUUUAAAUAAAUUUUCAGUUACAAAUUGAAACAUUUAAAUGUGUAACUUAUGAGAUUUAUGUCUUGCUUUCUAUAAUUACUGCAAACACUAACAUCUUACAAGAAUAUAAUAGACUCCUUUCUUCUAUAGGAACUAGAAAUCUUUCAUGUUUAAGUUAGUAAAUUGAUUUUGAGGGACAGAGACAAACAACAUUAGGCUUUGGCCCCUCCUUAAAUGCCCUAAAGAAAAUGUCAAAUUAGACCGAAGAGAGAAGGAAACUAUAUAAAUAAGAGCUAAUAAAAGAGCCUUGCAAUUGCAGCUCAAGGAGAAAGGGCAGGACAGGACAGGAGAGGGGGCCAUGCGGGACAGAAACGUUUGAUGAAGUUGGGUGCGAUGAAUGUUCCAAUCCACAUGGAAAAUGAAAUGAAGCGACAUAUCCCAUCCCAAGCAGUCCCAUGACUAUCCAUCACCAAUCGUGAUUAUGGCUACCAGUUUUACGACUUGCGACUUGUUGGACUGGGAGGGGUUGCUUUUUUCUGCUUAUCCACUCCCAGGCCCCAUCUCCUAUUGCUUUGUAGCUAGAGGACCGGCCAUUCCUCAGCAGUACAGUAUUCAGGGAAGAUAAUAAUCUGCUCCAUCUUUUGUUAUAGUUCUGAAGUACUACCAACUCAAAGAAUGUUGUUGGAAAGUACACUGCACCUGUAUAUUCUUUCCUUGUACUUCGUGUACAUUCCCUAUCCGACUCAUUAACAAGAGAGGUCUUUUUGUUUUUCUUUUCUUCAAAUUGAGAACCUUCAAUAACGGAAGCAAGCUGCAAAAUUUGUGGUUCCUCUCUUUAUCACCCCCACAAAGAUAGUAGGCUUUGCUACAGUAAAGGAUGAAACCUGUGUUCUUUGUCUACAUCCCAAGCUUUGCAUAAAGAAAACACCCCAAGAAAACAAAACAAAAAAAAAAUGAACAAGUAUUGAUCCACCAACUAAUGUACAAUUGACUGCCAAAACUAUUAAUAACAGAAUCCCCCCUCGAAGCAAGAUUCACAAUGGGAGGCAAAUGAAGUUUUACAGGGUCGGUAUAGAACAAAAUUAUGCCACAGAGAAACGAAGAUCAACAGAUGUACCCACCAACUUUCACCACCUCUGGUUAGACUUCAUUCCUACUAUACAUCCCAACCAUCCUUCCGCCGGCUAAAUUCUGACUUGCGGUCGGUCAAACUCCCGUACAUCUUUGCAAAUAUUCGCAGGCAAUUGCUUCGAACAUGAUAAUGAGCAUUCGUAUUCCGGCUAAUAGCUACACCAGAAAAUUUUGAUGUAUCAAUAGCCCAUGCAGGUCUUACAUACUCGACUGUCUGGGAAGAGCUUGCAUUUGCAUAAAGGUAAUUCAGCAACACAUCCUCACAGUUAAAAUACUUCUGAACCACCUGUCUUCCAGCCAUUGCUUCCUUGCUCCAGUAUCUCUCAAAGGCCAUCCGGCCGUCCAUGAAAGCUGCCCCAGUUAGAAUCAUAUUGUAGCCAUUGUGUCUGCGAGCAUGCUUCUCUGCUCUGUAUUUCAGGGGACUCCCAUUCACGAGCCGGGGGUAGAACCCCACAAUCCUAUCAGGAUGCUCACGCCAUACCUUGAAACCCCGUUCUAUAUCAUCACAAGUCAUCAUAAUGUCAUCGUCAAGUUCCAGUACAGCUCGAGUUUUUAUUUUUGGAUCCAUCUUGAAUCGAUUAUUUAACGAGUUCUCUUCCUCCUCUCUUAUCCUUACUGGUACUGCCGAGUCAAAUUCACUCAAUUCUGGACGUUUGCCUUUGUUCCAGACCACCACAAUUUCACGCACAGAUGAACACCUGGAGUAAUGCUUUAUGUACAUUUUCAAAUUCCAGAGGCGAGCAUCAUAGGUCAUUGUUAAUAAAGUAAAUUGAGAAUAAUGAUCAUUUAACGGGUAAGGCUCCUGUGCACCACUGCCUCCAUAUAUGUAUCCAACCCCCAGGCACAUUAGGGCCAUUGAUGCCAUGAUUGUCAAUAUUAUAACCAAUCUCCCGGUACAAGUAUUCAGAUUUACUUUGGCACGAAGAAUUGAGCUCGCUCUGUUUAAACGGCUGCAAAACAGUCUCAGUUUGGAGGAUAACAGGUUCGGCUUCUCCCACGACAACAGAGCAUCGCUUCUCUUCCCCAUAUUGUGAGGGCACCAACUUAGGGGUACUAGGCAUUUCACAGCCCCUAGAAGCAAUCCAACCAAUAUAACGAGUGCAGCAACAGCCAUGACUGAGGCACAGCCUAGAACAAACCUGCGAUUUGUAUCUCCAGAGGGCACUCUGUCCCCAUCCAGCACCCCAACCCACUCCCCAGAACUUAGCUGCUGAACAUCAAGAUGAUGGUUGCGGAGACCAUUCCAGGCAUUUCGUCCCUUGGUUGGUUCUUCAGUGCCCAAAGAGACCUCAACUUCUUUGAACUCAUCUGUAGUGAGAAUUUCCACUCUAAAGACACGAAUUCGCCGCCCGUAUGUUUCACCACAGUCUUGACCAAUUCGAUAAAGGUUUCCAUCAUGUACAAAGGGCCUGCCUCCAUUUCGAGCUCCCAUGCUCUUGUCUGUGUUAUAUAUAGGGUUCUUUUUGUGUGGUCUCCAAGGACCAAGAGGAGAAGUACUGUACCAAAUCUCCAGCUGUCCAUUCUUCUUGGUCCCAAUACCACUGUGGUCUGAACCAAACAGCCAGUACUUUCCACCAUGAGGUAUGAUAAAGGAAUCAACCAUAGGCUUUUUCAUAAUGACCUUGUCAAAUGUCCAUUCCACUGGAAAGUUCACAGCUCGAUAAAGCCGCAGAUCCCCAUUUGCACUUCCCUCAGGCAUCAUAUAUAUCUGCUCCAAAAGAGAAGAGAUAAAAUUUCCUCAGCUUGAACCACUUCAGAGGCUUUCAGUAACCACAAUGAAAAGGCAAGACAUGAUGUCUAUAUCAGCAAUCAAAGACGAUACUAUUUAUUCGUUGCGUUCAAGUUACAGAUUUGGGUUCAUUAUUCUCAAAACUCUACUCUUCUAUAUUCUAAUCUGCUAAUUAAGGUCAAAAUUUUCAUAAAAGUGAUGCAUGCUUGCAGGCCCACAUAUCAUAUUCACAGUUUACAGAAAAAAAGGCUGCGAGAGAAAGAGGUCUUACAUGGCCAUUGUAGUCAAAGACAUAGGGAUAAGAGAGAUGCCAAUCUUCAUCCAAGGCGAUGCCCAACUGCUGCCACGUAGCUCCCUUAUCAACACUUCUUGCAACUCCGAUGUCUCCUUGCAUGGUGAUUGAGUUCUUUGUUUCGAAAAAGAGGUAAAGCACAUCCCCCUGGAUUUCAUCAUCAAAAGUUCAGAAUUCAAGGUAUGAAGAGUGUAAUUACACAAAUUACAAAAGUUACAGAACCAAUAUAUCCAGUUUGGAAAUCUCCAAAGUCCUGUGCCAUAUUCAUUGUGAAUUACCAUACUAAAAGGCAAAAUAACCUUUCUUGGUAAACAGAAAAAUCACAAGACUCUACUGUUAUGAUUUGUGAAAGACAUUGGUCUUGUUCUCAACUGCUUCUGAUUGUGUAAAAGCUGAUUUUAGAAAAUCAGAAUAAAAAAGCACCAAAAUAGAUGCUUUUGAGUUUCAGCUUUUUCAGGCUAAAAAAAAUAAAAAAUGAGAAUUUGAGAACACAACAAAAUAACUUGCUUAGAAUCAGAAUCUAAAAUCAGAUCUUGAAAAUCAGUUGAGAACAAGGCCAUUAUUCCUUUGAUGGCAUGCAUCCCGAAUAAAGAAACUAGCACAUUUCCAAUCAAAUUAUAAACAUAUCACUCUGAAGUCUAAACCAAGUGUUAACUGUAUGCACACUCUGCAUCUGGCAAAGCACAAGAAAAGAUGAAAAAGAUGCACUAGGUCAUACUCCACGGAUGCUUUUGCAUCACAAUCAAAGUUCCUUGCAAGUUUUACAUUUUAAAAGCUGAUAAGACUCCAUAAACAAACAAGUCAAGCACUCCCGAAAUAUAGCAAGAAUUAAAGAACCAGCUAGACCAAACACGUUAUUGCUUAUCAAACACAAGGGACAACUAAAGCUGUUUUCUGUUGACACCCAAAAAUAAAUAGUAUGCAAUACACACACUCUCUCUAAAGAAAUCAGCACGAUUAACGUACACUGUUAGUGACUUGUACUAUAACUACUAUAAUUUUCUUCAACUCAUUGACACCUAACAUAAAAGGCUUGAAGUUAUUUUGCAGAGCAAGGGAAAGAUUAGGAAUAACAAGACAAAGGAAUUAUCAAAAGAAAAAUAAAUAAAUAAAAUAAGCUAGAUCGGCCUAAGAGAAGAAACAUAUUCAUUGGCUUGAUAUGCACCUAAUAGCCACUCAGAAUUUAGUACCUGCUGAAUGAACCAGAAGUAAAGUGCAAUAUCUAUGGCAGGAAAUUCCUACAUUACCAAAAUAUAAUCUUCUAAAUCUAUCAUCAUUUUUCGAAAGCAAAAGGUGUCAUGCACCACUGAAAGUACACUUGAACUGGACUUGGUACCACCAUCUUACAAUCACUUGAAAGUAUAAAUUCUUUUAAUCACAAAAUUCUCAAAUAGUAAACCUAAGAAGGUAGAAUCAUGUGAAACAUUCAGCUAAAUGCCAUCUUGACUUUGGAGCAAUGGAGUUCCAUUUAAAACUCCACGCAUCAUUAAAGGACGUCAUCAAGACUUGCUGACCUCCAAUCUCUAUCCUGUAUUUCCUUGUGGCACUUGCAGCUUGAAACCACUUACUAAUACUUCAAUUUGACCAGUUUUUCCUUGUGUAAGACAACAAUCAUCUAUAACAAUUCCAAGCCUUAGAAAACCAGUACCAGUUCUAUAUCCUUACCUAUUAUAUCAGUAUCACAAUUGUGUACUCACAUAAAUUCUAAGUGCCACCCUUGUGUUACUAUCUAGCAUAUCAGCGCCAACCUAGUAGUGCAUUGAAGCUGCUUGAACUUCAAAAUCUCGCACAUUGGUAACCUCUAUAUCCUUACCUCACAUUGGUAACCUCUAUAUCCUUAGAAAACCAGUACCAGUUCUAUAUCCUUACCUCGUAUAUCAGUAUCAGAAUUGUGUGCUCACAAAAAUUCUAAGUGCCACCCUUCUGUUACCAUCUAGCAUAUCAGGGCCAACCUAGUAGUGCAUUGAAGCUGCUUGAACUUCGAAAUCUCGCACAUUGUGUACUCUAUUUUGGUUCAUAUUCAAUUUAUCGCUUUACAACAACAUUGUUGACUAGAAUCCAAAAUUUCUCAUGGUAUGACAACUCCACUCUUUUUCGCCAUAACUUACUUGUGACAAAAUUAUUCAAUCAUUUUAUACUUAACUCUAAGCAAAGCACCAAUUUUACAGCUACAACCAGCCACAAGAUUCAGUUGUUCUCCUCUUGUUGCCAUGAGUUCAUCAUAUUUUGAAAGCCACAUAUCUUCCAUUUUUUUCCCCAAGUGUAUGAGCAGCAAUAAGAUUAUUCGGUAUGAGAGCUUUCAGAGCAAACAAUUAUGAAAUUGCCCUAAUAAGCCUUUUACCUACAAAAGUUUUCACAUAAAAAAUAAAUUAAAAAAUUCUUCUGCUUUUUCCCCAUCUUCAACCCACUUGCCCUAAUUUAAAUUUGUCUCCCCUCUCAUCAGCUGGAUAGCUUUCUCCAAAAACCGGAUACAAUUGUUUGAUCCC
RNAcentral lists this long non-coding RNA (79642 nucleotides) under Coffea arabica (coffee). Its description in RNAcentral is "long non-coding RNA (CARA_LNC000945)". Lineage: Eukaryota; Viridiplantae; Streptophyta; Magnoliopsida; Gentianales; Rubiaceae. The record is from RNAcentral.